Molecule: long non-coding RNA, 46199 nt
Filed under: Gossypium raimondii (Peruvian cotton)
Lineage: Eukaryota; Viridiplantae; Streptophyta; Magnoliopsida; Malvales; Malvaceae
Description: long non-coding RNA (GRAI_LNC009682)
Source: RNAcentral
CUUCUAAAGAUGAAAGAGAGCUAAUUGAGAAACUGGACGAGAAUGAGCUGUGGAAAAGUCUUUUUGAUGCUUUGAAAGAAAAGCGGUAUUUGGUAGUCCUCGAUGAUAUCUGGAGAAGCGAGGAUUGGGAUAUUCUUAAACCUGCUUUUCCACGAGGAAGAAAGGGAAGCAAAAUAUUGUUCACUACACGCAACAGGAAUGUAGCUUUACAUGCCGAUCCCUGCAACACUCCCAUGGAGCUCUCACCUCUUACAGAUGAUGAAAGUUGGAUUCUUUUGAGUAGGAAAGCAUUCCCCCUAAACAAGACAGAUUCUCAUAUCCGCUCUGAAGAAUUUGAGAAACUCGGAAGAGAGAUGGUGAAAAAAUGCGGAGGUCUACCUUUAGCGAUUAUUGUCUUGGGAAGCUUGCUAGCAAGAAAACAAUCGUUGGACGACUGGGAGACGGUUCACAGAAACUUUUUCCAUGGACACUUAAAAGGGCUCCAACAACUUGAUCAUCAAUAUGGUGCAGUGAACAGGAUUUUGGUUUUAAGCUACAAUGAUUUGCCUUAUCAUUUAAAACCAUGCUUUCUGUAUCUUGCUCAUUAUCCAGAAGAUUGGGAGAUAUCGAAAAAAGAGCUCAUUCGAUUAUGGAUCGCUGAAGGUUUUAUUUCACCAUUAUCGGGAAGCGAAGAAAUCUUGAUGGAAGAUGUAGGCGAACAAUUCCUAGAAGAGCUUAUAGAUAGAAGCUUGGUUCAAGUUUGGAGACGAGACUAUACUGGGACAAAGGUGAAAACAUGCCGAAUACAUGAUCUCUUGAGAAACUUGUGCGUGGGGAAAGCAGAAAAGGAGAAUUUCUUAAAAUUUAUUCAACCUUCAUUAAUUGAGAACUCUGAAAAUUCUGUUGAUGUGACCUUGGUAACAUCUAUGCCACGAAGAAUUGCUAUACAUCCUGGCAAAAGGGAUGUCCAUUUAAAAGGAGAGCAUCCACAAUUACGUUCUUUGCUGCUGAUUCAAGAAGAGGUAUUCAUAAAUUUCCAUAUUUCAAAUUUCAAGAACUUCAAACUUUUAAGAGUGUUGAAACUUACGAGGAAUGUUAGGAAAUGGCAUGUGUCAGGUGAAAUUGGUAAUCUCCGUCAUUUGAGGUAUUUGAGGUUAAAAUGCACUGGGAAAAUGAUCUUGCCAGGUGCUAUUGGAAAGUUGAAGAAUUUACACACUUUGUACUUCCAAUGCCUUUCUCGCAUUGUGGUUCCAAAUGUUGUAUUCAAGUUGGAACGUUUAAGGCAAUUUGUGAUUAAAGGGGAUGCAUAUCCCUGGAUCAAAAGUGGUUUCCAUUGGUGGCAAAGCUUUUCUUCAAAAAAUAUUGAAUCUUUGAAAUACAUGUCGGUGGACAAGAAGUUGAUUGAAAAUAAUGAGGCGCUUAGGUUGUUUCAUAUUCAGUGUUUAGGAAUAAUAUUCAAGAGUUCAGAAGAUGUUAAGUCUAUCCUACUAUUGAUGAUCAAAUUGGAUCGCCUUAGGUCAUUGUCUAUGAAUUUGUCUGUUGAAAAGUCAAGCUCAUUUUCAUAUCUAGACUUGGAACCUCUUUUUCAGUUUGGUCACCUUUCCAAAUUGAAAUUAGUAGGGCAUUUAAAAGAAGAUCCAUAUCAAAGCCAUCAUGUUUUGAAAUUUCUUCCACAAAGUUUUGUCAAAUUAACUUUACAAUGCUCCACGAUGACUCAAGAUCCAAUGGAAGUGUUGGAAAAUCUGCCUUGUUUGACAAUUCUUAAUUUAUUAAGUUUUGCAUAUGAGGGGAGAAAAUUGAUUUGCUCUGCCAAUGGCUUUCGUCAACUUCAAUAUUUUGGUCUAAAUAAAGCAACAAAUUUAGAAGAGUGGGAGAUACAAGAAGGCGCAAUGCCACGUCUCCGAAAUUUGAGUUUGAGCUUGAAUUUCAAACUAGAAAGGUUGCCAGAAGGAUUGAGGUAUAUUACUACUCUCCAAAAAUUGAUAUUAACAGCAAUGCCUUCAUCAUUGACAAAAAGGAUUGAAGUGAUAGGUGAAAAAGAAGGAGAGGAUUUCUAUAAAGUGCGCCACAUACCUUCCAUCCAAAUAUCUGAUAGAAUAGCAGGUAGGGGUUACUUUUACGUUAAUUCAAAGAUUACUUAUUUGUAAUAUUUUUCUCUCUUAAUUAUCUUUUUUUUUUUUUUAGCUUUAAAACUGGAUCCUUUGCAUAUCUAUGGCAGGUGAUGUGAAUAAUCAACUAUAUAUCAAUUCAAGUGCUAAUUUAAUCUUUAAUGUAAAUUCAUAAAAGCCUAUAUUGUUGAAACUCUCUCAAUUUCCAUGAUUGUUGGCCUGCCUACUUUUUCAAGUUAACUACUAAACUUCAAUGUUAAUUGCAACAUUGCUUUCCUUUGACCUAAUUUGGAUUAGUGUUCAUUAAAUAAAUAAAAAAUAUUUUGUUUCAAUUAAAUAUAAAAGAUACCUCAUUAUUAUUAUACUUUAAGGUAAAUAAUAGUCACCUAAUUAUUAGUGUUUUUUUUUUCACCCAACUAUAAAAAAUUACAAAUUGGUCAUUCAACUAUUCAAUUUUGUCAUUCGACGGUUGGUCAUUUUUUUUUAUCAUUCAGCCAUUUGGCUAACGACAACAACAUUUGAAAUUGACAUAAUAGCACAUUUAACCUUCAAUAUUUAUACAUUGCAUCAAUUUAGAUUUGAUUCUAAAAAAUCGAUCCCACAACGUUACACAUUGUGUAAUUUGAUCUUUUAUAUAGUUUUUUUUUCUUUGUAACCAUUCCACCUAAAAAGCUAAAAAAAUAAAUUUAUUAGCUAAAUUUGAUUAAACGUAUACAAAAAUACAAAAAAACAAAACUACAAAAAAUUUAAGAAUUAAUUUUAAUUUUCAUGAUUUCUGUAUUAUAUUCUUUUUAUCAUUAUUAUUAGUAUAGAUAAAAGAUGAUAUACCAAUUUCAUGUUGUUGCUGGUAGGGUUGGAUGCUUUCUUUCAUCUCCAAAUGCAAGCCUGCAAAGAAGCUCAACAUUAAUUGAUUGUUCAUCCAUUCAAGUUUAUGGAUUUUAAGGAAAGAUUUAGAUUUAAAUUUAAGAAAUUUAUUUAUUACUAUCUUUGAGUUAAGACAAAUUGUAGCAGUAAUUUCAAAAUGGUUGGUGCUGCAAAGAAGUAAAUUUGCAACAUGAAAAUAAUUUAUUUAUCAACUUUUUAUUUCAUCGAUUUAAUCUAAAUUUUUUAAAAUAGAUGAAGCUCGUCAACGCAUUAUUUUAACCACAAGGUUUAGUGGUGGGUUUAGAUGGGCGAUUGGGAAAGGGAAGCAAAAUAUUGUUCACAACACGCAACAGGAAUGUAGCUUUACUUGCCGAUCCUUGCAACACUCCCAAGGAGCUCUCACUUCUUACAGAUGAUGAAAGUUGGAAUCUUUUGUGUAGGAAAGCGUUCCCAAGGAGCAAAAUGGGUUCUCAAUGCUGCUCAGAAGAAUUUGAGAAGCUUGGAAAAGAGAUGGUGAAAAAAUGUGGAGGUCUGCCUUUAGCAAUUGUUGUGUUGGGAUGCUUGCUGGCAACAAAACAGUCAUUGGCUCAAUGGGAGAUGGUUCACAAAAACAUCCAUGGACACUUAAAUGAGCUCCCACACCAAGAUCGUCAAUAUGGUGUAGUGAACAGAAUUUUAGUUUCAAGCUACAAUGACUUGCCUUAUCCUUUAAAACCAUGCUUUUUGUAUCUUAGUCAUUAUCCAGAAGAUUGGGAGAUACCAAAAAAAGAACUCAUUUGUUUAUGGAUCGCUGAAGGUUUCAUUCCGAAAACCGAAGAAUUCUCGAUGGAGGAUUUAGGCGAAAAAUUCCUAGAAGAGCUUAUAGAUAGGAGCUUGGUUCAAGUUAGCAGGCGAGGCUAUACAGGAACAAAUGUCAAGACAUGUCGAGUGCAUGAUCUCUUUAGGGACUUGUGCACGAAGAAAGCAAGAGAGGAGAAGUUCUUGGAAAUUAUUCAACAACCAUCGGCUGAAUUGGAUGUGACAUUGGCAGAACCUAUGCUACGAAGAAUUUCUAUUCAUCCUAGUGAACGGAAAGUUCAUUUGAAGGGAGAGCAUCCAAAAUUACGUUCUUUGUUGUUGCCUGGAAAGGAGACAUUGCAAGAAUUGUGCAUUUCAAAAUGCAAAAGCUUUAAAUUUUUAAGGUUGUUGACUCUUCUAAAAAGGUGCAACUACAAAAAGUGGCAUGUGUCGACUGAAAUCGGUAAUCUCUUACAUUUGAGAUAUUUGAAGUUAGGAUGCCGAUACAGAAUGAUUUUGCCGCCAUCUAUUGGCAGGUUGAAGAGUUUGUACACUUUAUACAUCAAGUUUAAUUAUGGCGUUGUAAUUCCAGAUGUCGUGUUCAAGUUAGAAAGUUUAAGGCAUAUUGUAUUAAAAGGGGGGGCGGAGUGGAUGGAAAGAGGAAUUCCUUUGCGGCCAGAGUUGAUCACUUCAAAAAAUAUUGAAACUUUGAAGUCCGUAGUGGUGGAUGAGAAGCCUAUUGAUUAUAAUGUGGUGUUUAGGUUGACUAAUAUUCAGAGUUUAGGAAUAGUAUUUGCAAGAAUAAAAUAUCUGAAGCCUAUCCUAAUAUUGCUAGCCAAAUUGCAACGUCUUGGGUCAUUGUCCUUAGAGUUUUUAGACCUUUCAUACCCAUCAUAUCUAGACUUAGAACCCCUUUCUCAAUGUCAUCAUCUCUCCAAACUGAGAUUAAUGGGGGCGAUAGAAGAAGGUCCAAAUCCAAGGCAUCAUGUUUUGAAAUUUCUUCCUCCAAAUAUUGUUAAAUUAACUUUGUGUGAUUGUAAGAUGAGGCAGGAUCCGAUGGGUGUAUUGGGAAAGCUAUGUCAUUUGAGAAUUCUCUAUUUGUUUAAAACAUAUAAUGAGAGAAAAAUGAUCUGCGUUGCCAAUGGGUUUCCUCGACUUGAUUCUCUUACAAUGAUUAUUGGUCUAAAAGAGUUAAACGAGUGGGAAAUAGAAGAAGGCGCAAUGUCAUGCCUUCGAAGAUUGGAGUUGGCCCAUGUUAGUAGUUUAAGGACGCUUCCAGCAGGAUUGAAGCAUGUUACUACUCUCCAAGAAAUGAUAUUAACAUAUAUGAGUUCGUCAUUGAAAGGAUUAAAGUGAUAAAUGGAAGAGAAGGAGAGGAUUUCUAUAAAGUGCGCCAUAUUCCUUCCAUCCACAUUUGAUCCCAAAUAGUUGGAGCCAACAUCACAUGAGGUAUUUAUUUAUGUAAAACAAUAAAAUUUCUAUUCUUUUUCUUUUCCUUUCACCCAUAUAAUUAGAUACUGAUAUAAAAUCAGUAAAAUAACAGAAUAGAAAAAUGAUCAUCUUUAAUUAACAUAAAAAAUUAUAAUUAAAAUAUAAAAAAUAAGGAUUUCUAAUAUUUUUCUAGAAAAACUAAAAGACUAGUAUCUUGAUGAGAAGGGAUUGUAUGAAAUUAUGAUUACACAUUAUUCCUAUCCUUUUCCAAUAUGAGAAUGACAAAUCAAUUUUUUCUUCUUGAUUUUUAGCUUUUUUCUCUUAAAAUUUAAAUCCAACUAAAAAUACUAAAAGUUUGAACGAAAAAUCUGAUUUAUCAUUCUUCUAUUAGAAAGAGAUAGGGAUAACGUGAAAUAAUAAAUUUAUACAAUCAUUUCUCUUUAAUUGAUAUGUAUAAGAGCUGAUGAUAUAUAUAUAUACAUUUUUUUUCUUGGUGCAGUUAACCUAAUCGACCCUGAAAUGUACUUCACUGGAAAUUCAGCUCAUCAAGUGUGUCUAUUUUUUUUUUUUUAGGUAUUGGAUUGCUAUAUAAUAUGAGCUUGAAUGAAGUGAUUGUUUAUUAAUAAUUUGGUAAGAGUAUAUAGUUCUUAUGAUCAAUUAAUGUAUUCAAUAUUUUCUUCAAUUGUCUUUUAGCAUUAGUACUUGCUUCAAGCCACUAAAAAUCUAAAUUUAUAUGGAAGGGUUGUGAUCUGCUUAUACUAAAUUAAUCACACAGGAUGGUAGUUUCUUAAAUCACAGUAGAAGUGAGAGUCCACUUACAGUACUAUUUAUCAUAUGAUCAGCCGCUUCAUUUAAAGAUUUUGAAAUGUGACGGAUCUUUACUUUCCAAUAACAAAAAAAUGAUCUAACAAAAAUAUUUAAGAUUUCUCAUAACAGGAAAAACUUAUUAAUAACAUUUUUUUUCAUUUAAUAAUGUAUAAAACAGAUUCAUGCAUGCCUUAGUUUACAUGGGACGAUCAUUAAAUUUCUUAUCAAAUCACCUGUUUGACAUAAUUUCAAAUCGUACGACAACUCAUUUACACUACAAUAUUAUAUAAAAAAAACAGUAAUUAUUAUCAAACCUUUAACUGUUUAAUCAAUUAUAUUAAUCAUCCCAUAAAGUUCAUUUUAAUUAAAAUAAUCAUAAAAUAUUAAAUUCUUUUUACUCAUUUAAUAUUUACUAAGAACAAACGGAUUAUUGAAUAUCUGAGUUUAAAAUUAUUUCAACUUCUACCUUCAACCAUAUGUAUAUAAUGAUGGCAUAUUAGCAAAGGUAAUCAAAAUCUAAAUUCACAGAAGUGCGUAAGAAAGUUUGUAUAAACAAUAAGAACUCUGAUAUAAGACAAGCCUACUGAUGAAACAGCAAUUACGGUGAGGUGAUCAGAAGAGGCAUUCACUAACCUGACGAGGUAAUGAUUAAAGGAAUAAGGCUUAUUACUUUCCAUUUACACAAGACACUUUGAAGUUGGAGCACAAACAAGCAAGCAGUGACAUCCAAUUAGUAUCAUUAGUUCCAUUAUAGAACAUGAUCUUUUAUAAAAAUACCAUUCAAAAUUCCAUAUCAAGUUAGAGUUCUUGAGGGAAAUAGAAAGUAAGUGCAAACUACAAGAACUUAUCAGGGCCUGGGUCUCUUUUUAUAUUAAAAAGUGAUAAUAGAGCAAAAGAUAACCAAACCCCGAAACAGUAAAAGGUUGUAGUUUUCCCCGAAUAUCAUAGAACACCACUCUACCAUUACCAGUACCAGCUGCCAGUGUCCAACCAUCAUCUCUAAAUGCCAAUGAAGAAAAAGGUGCCUCAUAAGAAAUGAAAGCUGAGGGUCUUCUAGACCCUGAGUCGUAAGUGUAUAGCUUCUUAUCCAACCCAACACUGGCAAUAAUCUGUCGAAAAGGAAAAAGAAAAUUGAAAUGUCAGAAUAUUUAACAAAUUUUGAAAGAUGUCUUAACCAUUAAAAAACAGAAACUUCCUUCAUCUCAACCUUCCAAAACAGCUCAGCCUAUUCCGUUAAUUAAAGCCUUAAUAAGGAAAAAAAGAAACAAUGAGACCUUAUCAUUGGAGGGUAAGAAACUAAUGCCGGCUGUUGGAGCAGAGUGCUGCUUCAACCAAGAGACCUGUAAAAGCCAGUGGAUUACAUAGAUGCUUAGAACAUCAAGAAUAUUGAGACAGAGAGAAGAGAACCUUUGGGUUACGACCAGUGGUAUUCAUAAAUGGACAGAUCCAGCACCAUCUGCAGUCACCACAAUGUGUCGACUAAUCGCGAAUAGUCAAGUACCUUUAGCUCCUCGUCUUAAGUCCAUCAAGGGAAAAUUAGCCUGCAAACAUGAAUAAGAACUUAACAUAAGCACCCAAAUGCUAGACUUUGUGCACCAGGAUCUUUUAAUUCUGCAGCCUUUGCCCCAAAAGCAAGGUUGUGAAGUAUCAGAUCCCCACUUAGGCUGAUGGAGACCAAGUGUUCAUUGUUGAAACCAUUUUUUUGAAGGUCGACUUUUUAUUUAAAAAUGAAAAUAGGAGUCGCCAUUAUUCUUUUUUUAUGAGGUGUGAACGGAUCAUCUCAUAAUUUGAUCGUUUUAAUAAACAGUUCGAUUUACUAAAAUAAUGUUUUUCGGUCUACAAAAAUCCAGAAAAUGAGUUUAGGAGUCGGUUACGCACGAGGAAGGAUUAACACCCUCGUUACGCCCAAAAUUGGUACCUAGUUGAUUACUUGACAUUUUUCGUGUCGAGAAUUGAAAAUUUGAGGAGAUUUUUAAAAUACGAUCCCUUUUGGCAUAAUAUUAUUAAGAUACAAUUUAAUUAAAUUAAAUGGAAAAUGCCUUAUUUUGAGUUAAUUGAGAAGAAAGACUAUGCCCCGUAAGUUAGGACACGAUACCUUGGAUUCUCGAAAAUAUCUUAAUUAAAAUCUCAUGUGUUUUAAUUUUAAAAGGAAUGUUCGGUUAUCUUGAUUCAAAGAGAAAAUCGAACCCUGUAAGUUAAAGCACAAGUUCUCGGAUCUCCAAAUACAGAAUAUUGCCUUAAUUUUAAAAAUUUUCCUUUUUUAUGUAUUGGGCAAAAAUUAAUGUGACACUUAAAAUGAUAAAUAUUUAAUUUAUUUGGGUAUGGCAUAAAAAAAUGGCUAAAAAGUAAUAAAGAAAAUGUCAUGCUUAGCAAGAAAUGAUAAUGCGACAUAAAUUUGUAGUAAUAAUGGUAUAAUAUGCAUAAUAAAAUAUAAAAUAUAAUAACAAUAAUAAAUCAUGAUACUAAUAUGCAUAAUAAAACAAUGAUAAUAAUAAUAAUAACAAUAACAAUAACAAUAAAUAAUAAAUAAUUUUUUAAGUUUAUAAAAAAUAAUAAAUAAAUAAGUAAGUAAAUAAAUAGUGGAGUAAUAAUAACAAUAAUAAAAGAUAAAGUAAAAUAAAAAUAUAAAAUAUAAAAAAUAAAAUAAAUAAAAAGAAUGCACAAUAAAUGGAAAAAACAAGCCAAUUUGAAAUACAAAAAAAAAAAAAACAAUAAAGGAGAUAAUAAGUAAAUAAAUAAGUGAAUACUAAUAAAAGUUUGAUUAAAAAUUGAAAUUAAAUAAACAAACAAAUAAAUCAAACAAAAUAAUACAUGAAACAGUUUAAAAAAAUUGAAGUUAAAUAGACUAAGAAUUGAAUUGAAAUCAGAAUGAAAUUAGGGGUACAGAUUAUAAAUCGUAAAAAAACUAAUAAAAUAGAAAUAAAGAUCAAAAUAAAAUGCGCAAAAAAUAACAGGGGCUAAAUGGGAAAUUAUUCUCGAAGUUCCUUGUGCGCACAGUUUCUAAGGACUAAAAUGAAAUGAAAAUAAAAUUAUGUGGUAAAAUUAAAAGAGAAAAAAUAAAUAGGACUGCAUUGUAAAUCGUCCAAAAAGCGGAAGGGCCAAAAGCGUAAAUAACUCAUACGCUAAGAAAACACGUGGAUCCUAGCUCUCGGGUCGGGUUAGACGCGGGUCGAGUCAAAACAACGCCGUUUUGGUGUCUGAAAUUAAAACCCAAAAUGCCGUUUUACAACCCCUAUUUAAGUCAAAAUUUUUUUUUAAAAAAUUCAUUUCAGCCUUCACAACAAAAAAAAUAAAAAAAACUUUUCUUUUUUUCUCUGAAAGUCAUCUUAGUCCGGCCAUAGCUUCGGCCAUCGGCUACUGUGGCGGCUGUCGGUCACCGACGAUGGCAUAGCCGUCCACGGUGGCCGAAAAAUGAAAAGUUCCCUUUUUUUGGUUUUUUCGACUUCUCGUGUCCGAUCUAAACCUCUUUUUUUUAAAAAAAUAAUAAAAAGAAAAAAGAAACCGUAAAAAAAAAGAAAAUUAGAAACUUUCGCCUCAUUUCAAGCCGUUACAGCCUUGCUCCGUCAAAGCCGAGGCCGAACCCUAAUGGGUUCGAGGAUCCGAUGUCGGAGACGGCCUCCGAGAACCAGGGAAGAUGAAGCGACGCAGGUAAUAAAAAUCGAUUUUAUACUUUUUAUUUAUUGUUUGUUUUCGAAAUAAGACCGAAGAAAAAAGAAUCACCUUUGUUCAUUUCUGAUUGCUUUUUUUGUUUUUGUAUAUAUUUAUCUGUAAACAUUACAUGGUUAUUUUUGUGGCUUUUAUGGCCACGAUUACACUGUUCUAUUACUGUUUAUACUACUAUUUGUUGCUUUUCUCAGAUGCUUCUGCUUUUUUCUUUUUUUUUUGUCCCUUUUUUGUAGGCGUUAGUGGUCAACGGAGGUUGGGAAGAGGUGCACUUUACUGUUUUGGUGCAAUGAGACAGAUGCGCAUCAGGCAAUGAGAAAUUGUCGUUUGGGCUAGCCUUGUUUAAGUCCCUAUAGUCUACACACAUUCGUAUUUUCUCAUCUUUUUUAAGGACAGAGACAAUAUUAGCUACCCAUUCUGAGUAUUUAACCACUUCUAAGAAACCAGCGUCGAAUUAUUUCUUGACCUCUUCUUUUAUUUUCAGCAAAACGUCGGGCCUCAUCUUUCGAAGCUUCUAUUGAACAGGCUUGCAGUCUUCCUUUAUGGAGAGCCGAUGUACCACGAUAUCAGUACUUAGCCCAGGCAUAUUUUGAUACAACCAUGCGAAUACAUCUUUGAAUUCUUUGGGUAACUCAACGAGGUUUCGCUUUGUCUCUGCGAUGAUGUAAGCUUCGAUCUUUACCUCUUUAUCUUCUCCUAAGCUUACAAUUUCUAUUGACUCUUUGUAAGGUAGGAUUUGUUUCUCAUCUUGUUCUACCAUCCUUAACAAAUCAGGAGAUAAACUAUAGUCUCGAUCAUCUUCAAAAUCCAUAGGUUCCUCUGGACACAUAUCUUGCUCAAAAAGAGAUUUUGAGUUAGUGGCAGCGUUACUCAUAUCAUUGAUAUCUAGAAACCUGUUAUAGGAACGAAGGAAGACCCAAAGAACAAAAAAAUCUAAGAAUAAUUAUUUGUAUGGUAUGAUUAUGAAUGAAAUGAAAUGAAUAAAAGAAUUUUUGCUCAAAAUGAGACACAAAGAUGCAUUUUAUUAAAAUAAAUAUGUUGGACAUAUGCCUUUUUCACAAAAGGAUUCUUAUUGCUCCCAGGCUUAGAGUAAUAAGUGUGUUUUGAACAUUACUCUGAAUUAGCUCUAAAAAUUACAGAGAUCUCUUCAGCAGUCCAAUUGUUCAAAACACUCCUGAGUAUAUAAGGGCAAAUGUCUGAUAAAUUCUCUUCCCCAAUUCCUUCUUCGGAUAUGGAAUUUAUGUUCAAAUUUCUUAACAUUCCUUCCGAGCCUUUGACAUUUUCAAAGAAUUCCAAGUCUUUGUUAUCCAUUAGACUUUACACCAAAACUUUGAAUUCAGUGCACUCUUGGAUUUCAUGACCUUCUUCAGCGUGGAGCUCACAGUAGCUCCUCAUCCCUUUGGGUAUCUCCUCCGAAUCCUAAAUGAUUAAUUUCAUGUCUAUCAUUUGUUUCAAAACCCAUUUCAGUGGGGUUUUUACUUUUGCAAUAUUGGUUUUGGUUCUCUUUCCUCUACUUUCAAUUAUCGCGUUUACCCCUAGGUCUGAAUGACUGGGUAACGGAUUUCUUGCCACAUUAGGUCCCGAUGGAUCGUUGAACUUCACGAUACCCAUCUUGAUGAACCUUUCAAUUAACUUUUUAAAUACAAUACAGUUUUCAAUUGAAUGUCUCGUUAUUCCUGCGUGGUACUCGCAUUGAGCAUUUGCAUCAUACCGAUUUAAGUUUAUGGAUUUUAAGGAAGGAUUUAGAUUUAUCCAUCUUAUAUAUAUUCUAAUUUAAAUUUUAGAAAUUUAUUUAUUAUUUCUUGUACUAGCUUUGAGUCAAGACAAUUAGUCAUUUUUGAAAUAGUCGGUGCUGCAAUGAAGUAAAUUUGAAAGAUGAAAAUAUUCAUUCAACAACUUUUUAUUCCAUCGUUUGAAUCAAAAAUUUUCAAAUAGUUCGCCAGCACAUUGUUUUAAUAAUAAGGUUGAGUUUUUAUGAAUUUUGAAAUUCUAAGUUUGAAAUCUACUUUAUGUAAAUCAUAAAUUAAGUAUAGUUUCUCCCUCAAAUAAAUAAUUUUUUUAAAUAACACUGUAAAAAUAAUAAUAAAUAAUUGAAGUAAACUACACCCAAGUUCAUUAAAUUAUUAGUAAGUUAACAUUUUGGUUAAUUAACUUAAAAAAGUUACAAAAUGAUCACUAAACUAUUCGAAAGUUUUAUUUAAGUCAUCGGGCUAUAUGGUCUUCAUUGUUUGCAUCCCCUACACUAAUAAAAAACUCUUCUGCCUCUGUUUUUCUAUGGUUUAGGUUUUUUUUUUCAUGAAACAACUUUAAACGUCAUAUAUAUACGAAUCAAAAUCCAAAUAGCUUUCUUCUCCGUUCUUCGGCACCGACCAUUAGAUUGUCUUGAUCUAAUAUAUGUUUGUCUACUCGUCGAUAAGUAUUGAUCCAUCGUAACAUUCAUCGAAUUGUCGCUCGAACCUCGCUAGCCAGACUUUAAAAAAAAAGAAUUUAAUAGUCCAAUGACUUCAAUAAAAACUUUUGAAUAGUUCUAUGACUUAAAUGAAAACCACUGAAUAGUUCAAUGACUAUUUUGUAAUUUUUUAAAAUUAAAUGAUCAAAAUAUAAAUUUAUUAAUAGUUUAGUGAUCUUGAGUACAAUUUACCCAAAUAAAUUUUUUUUUUCUUUUGGUCUUAUCCUAUCAAUUAUGAGCGUUCAUUAGUAAAGUGGUGGUUUAAUCUUUAAUGUAAAUUCACAAAGCGUAUAUUGUUGAAGCUCUCUCAAUUUCGGCCCGCCUUCUUUUUUUAAGUUAAUGGUGUUAUGUGUUAACUACUAAACUUCAACGUUAAUUGAACAUUGCUUUCCUUUUACCUAAUUUGGAUUAGUGUUCAUUAAAUAAAAAAUAUUUUGUUUCAAUUAAAUAUAAAAGAUACCUAAUUAUUAGUAAAUUUAAGGUAAACAGCACUAGUAGUCGCUCAAUUAUUAUUAAAUUUCCUUUUCGAUUGUCCAACUAUGAAAAGUUACAAAAUGGUAAUCUAACUAUUAGUAAAUUUCUUUUUUGUUGAUCCAAUUAACUAUAAAAAAUUAUAAAUUUGUCACUCAACUGUUCAAUUUUGCCUUUUUUGAGCACAAAUUGGCUAAUGACAAUAACAUUUAAAAUUGACAUAACCCUCAAAAUGUAUACAUUGCAUCAAUUUAGACUUGAUUCUAAAAAAUCAAUCCCGCAAUAUUUACACAUUGUAUAGUUUGAUCUCCUAUAUAGUUUUGUUUUUCUUUGCGACCCUUCCACCUAAAAAAGCAAAUUUAUUAGUUAAAUUUAAUUAAAAAUAUAAAAAAAUGGAAAUGCCCAAAAAUCUUACGUUAUAAUUUUAAUCUUAUAUUAUUAUUUUAAAAUUAACUCUUGAUGUCACAAAUAAAAGUAAAAUUACUAAAAAAAUGUAAUAAAAAUUAUUUUUAAAAAAUUAAGACUAAAUUAACAUAAUAUGUAAAUUUUGAGAAUUAAAUUUACUAUUGCACUAAUUUUUAAAGAUAUUAUCCUAUGAAUUAUUUUUAAAAUUUUGGGUCCAACUUGGACCAAGCUUUAAGAAAGCAAAGACGAAUUUUUGUAGCCUUAGCCUAGCCCCCUACUCCAAUAUUUCCCCACUAAUACAUAAACUAUUAAUAUUCCUCCACUAAUACAUAAUAUAUUCCCCCCCUAAUACAUAAACUAUUCCUCCACUAAUACUUACCGAUCAGUUUGAAAUCUAAUUAGGUAACAAAUAAUGGUUGAAAUUCAUCUGUAACAAAAAAAAAUGGAUAAAUAAAAAAAAUAAAUUUAAAAUUUUUUACUUCACAUAGUAUAGAUAAUUUAAAUUUUUUAAAAAAUUUUAAAAAAUAAUAUUCUAUCUUUCUUCAAUGUUAUUAUUAUUUGAGUAUGAUUCGAUGUUUCCUUUUCAAAGAAUCAUUACUUUAACAUUUCAUUCUUUUUUAUAUAAUUUUAAGUUAUUUUUCUUUAAUGCUACUUGAUUAAAUAUAUAUACUUAAUGAUGGAAUAUGUUUUUUUAUAAAGCUAACAUUAAAUUUUAAUUGGUAUAUAAUUCUAAUACUAAUUAAGUGAUAAUUAAAAUUAUUAGAGUUGUAUUCAUAUAAAUAAAAUUAGCACAUUUUUUAAAUAAAAAUAAAGUCAUCUUUUAUAAUAAUGUCAAAUUUAAAAUAUAAUUAUAAUAGCUAAUUAAUUAAGAGAUAAUUGCAUGAAACUAAAUCUUAUGAGUGCACUAGAAAAGCUGCCUUGUUUGAGGAUUCUUAGCUUACAGGAUGAAGCGGACUAAUAUUUAUCAUUAUUAUUAGUAUUGAUAAAAUAUGGUGUACCAUUUUCAUGUUAAUGUAGGGGUUCUUGGUGGUAGGGUUAUAAUUGGAUGGUUUCUUUCAUCUCCAAAUGCCAGUCUGCAAAGAAGCUCAACAUUAAUUGAUUGUUCAUCGAUUUGAGUUUAUGGAUUUUAAGGAAGGAUUUAGAUUUAUCCAUCUUAUAUAUAUUCUGAUUUAAAUUUUAGAAAUUUAUUUAUUAUUUCUUGUACUAGCUUUGAGUCAAGACAUUUAGUCAUUUUCGAAAUAGUUGGUGCUGCAAUGAAGUAAAUUUGAAAGAUGAAAAUAUUCAUUCAACAAAUUUUUAUUUCAUCGUUUGAAUCAAAAUUUUUAAAAUACUUCGCCAACACAUUGUUUGAAAUCUAUUGUAUGUAAAUCAUAAAUUAUGUAUAGUUUCUUCCUCAAAUAACUUUUUUAAAUAAUACUGUAAAAAUAAUAACGAAUAAUUGAAGUAAAUUACACCCAAGUUUACUAAAUUAUUAGAAAGUUAACGUUUUGGUUAAUUAACUUUAAAAAGUUACAAAACGACCACUAAACUAUUCGAAAGUUUUAUUUAAGUCAUCGGGCUAUAUGGUCUUCAUUGUUUGCAUCCCCUGCACUGAUAAAAAAACUCUUCUGCCUCUGGUUUUCUAUAGUUUAGGUUUUUUUUUUAUGAAACAACUUUAAACGUCAUAUAUAUACGAAUCAAAAUCCAAAUAGCUUUCUUCUCCGUUCUUCGACACCGACCAUUAGAUUGUCUUGAUCUAAUAUAUGUUUUUCUACUCGUCGAUAAGUAUUGAUCCAUCGUAACAUUCAUUGAAUUGUCGCUUAAACCUCGCUAGCCAGACUUUAAAAAAAGAAGAAUUUCAUAGUCCAAUGACUUCAAUAAAAACUUUUGAAUAGGUCCAUGAAUUAAAUGAAAAUCACUAAAUAGUUCAAUGACUCUUUUAUAAUUUUUUAAAAUUAAAUAAUCAAAAUAUAAAUUUAUUAAUAGUUUAGUAAUCUUGAGUGCAAUUUACCCAAAUUAAAAUUUUUUUUCCUUUUGGUCUUAUCCUAUCAAUUAUGAGCAAUGACUGCUGGGUGUUCAAAUAGUUGUAUUGGCCUACAAAUGUCACUCAUCAUGACUUUUCUUCACAUGUCAUUUGACUAUGGAAAAUCAUAAAAAAAAAAAUACAUGAAUGCAGCUAUUUAAUGUCACUUUCCUACAAAUUUAUUGCAUGAAUCUCUUGUGCUUUUGGAAUUUUGUCACCCAUCACUUUUUGUGUCCACCUAACGUUUUUUAAAAAUAAAAAUUUAUGACUUAAUUAUAAGUUGGAUUUAUUAAACUUUCUAUUUUGAAUUUCUUGUUAUUAUUCUGAAUUUCAUAAAUAAUAAUAAUUAAAAAAAAUUCCCCAGUUAAACUUCAGGUAGCUUCCUCCAAAUUUCCUAUUUCCGUCCACUUUGAACAUAUGCUAUUUUAUUUUAAAAAUUUAAGUCCCAACGAAAAAUAAUCAGCAACCUCACCCCCAAAAACAGCUCUUCAAAACUUCUGAUAAAGAGAAAUACUUCCUCCACUAAUACAUCAAAUAUUAUACAAUUAUUUACCGACCAGCAGGAGAAAUGGCAGGGGCUAUUGUGUCCUUAGUUGUUGAAAGAAUUUCUGAUCUACUCAUCCAUGAAGCAGUUUUCCUCAAAGAUAUGGCACAUCAAGUUGUGAGCCUACAGUAUGAACUGAAGCGAAUGCAGUGUUUCUUGGAGAACGUUGACCGUAAGCCAGAACAAGACGAGCGUCUCCAUAGUCUGGUAUCGCAAAUCCGUGAUCUUGCUUGCGAUGCUGAAGAUGUCAUCGACUCUUUUAUUCUAGAAGCAGCAGAUCAACGAGAUUCUCAUGGGAUUGUCAAGAGAUUCACCUCCAUUUUCACUAAACCUGAUCAUCUGCACAAAAUCAGGGUGCAGGUCAAAGCAAUCCAGACCAGGCUCCAAAACAUUUCCAAGAAUCUUCCAGCUUAUGAGAUACCCAGUGAUGGAGAAGACUCUAGCUCAGUUUUCAAGUUGCAGCAACGGUUAAGAAGGACAUACUCGCAUGUCGUGGAAGAGGACGUUGUUGGCUUGGAGGUUAGCACCAAGGAUGUCAUGACCAAGUUGAUGACUGAAGAAGAUAGACCCCACGCCGUCGUUUCCAUAGUCGGCAUGGGGGGCAUCGGUAAGACGACUCUUGCCAAAAAAGUAUAUAAUCAUCUUGAUGUGAGACGCCAUUUUGAUUUCUUGGCUUGGGUUUAUAUAUCUCAACAAUGUAAGCCGAGAGAAGUUUUGCUUAGUGUCUUGAUGAAAGUUCUCUCUCCUUCUAAAGAUGAAAAAGAGCUAAUUGAGAAACUGGACGAGAGUAAGCUGAUGAAAAGUCUUUUUGAUGCUUUGAAAGAAAAGCGGUAUUUGGUAGUCCUCGAUGAUAUUUGGAGAAGCGAGGAUUGGGAUAUUCUUAAACCUGCUUUUCCCCGAGGAAGAAUGGGAAGCAAAAUACUAUUCACAACACGCAAUAGGAAUGUGGUUUUUUAUGCCGAUCCUUGCAACACUCCCAUUGAGCUCUCAGUUCUUACUGAUGAUGAAAGUUGGAAUCUUUUGUGUAGGAAAGCAUUCCCAUCAAGCAAACUGGGUUCUCAAUGCUGCUCGGAAGAAUUUGAGAAGCUUGGAAAAGAGAUGGUGAAAAAUUGUGGAGGUCUGCCUUUAGCAAUUGUUGUGUUGGGAGGGUUGCUAGCAACAAAAUGAUCAUUGGCUGAAUGGGAGAUGGUUUACAAAAACAUCCAUAGACACUUAAAAGGGCUCCCACACCAAGAUCAAAAUGGUGUAGUGAACAGAAUUUUGGUUUCAAGCUCCAAUGAUUUGCCUUAUCCUUUAAAACCAUGCCUUCUGUAUCUUGGUCAUUAUCCAAAAGAUUGGGAGAUAUCAAAAAACGAACUCAUAAGAUUAUGGAUCGCUGAAGGUUUCAUUUCACCAUCACUGGAAAGCAAAGAAAUCUCGAUGGAGGAUGUAGGCGAACACUUCCUAGAAGAGCUUAUAGAUAGGAGCUUGGUUCAAGUUAGCAGGCAAGGCUAUACAGGAACAAAUGUUAAGACAUGUCGAGUGCAUGAUCUCUUGAGGGACUUGUGCACGAAGAAAGCAAGAGAGGAGAAGUUAUUGGAAAUUAUUCAACAAUCAUCGGCUCAAUUUGAUGUGACUUUGGUCGAACGUAUGCUACGAAGAAUUUCUAUUCAUCCUAGCGAAAGGAAAGUUCAUUUGAAGGGAGAGCAUCCAAAAUUACGUUCUUUAUUGUUGCCUCAAAAUGAGACAUUGGUAGAAUUUUGCAUUUCAAAUUGCAAAAGCUUCAAAUUUUUAAGGGUGUUGACUCUUUUAAAAAGGAACGUCGAAAAGUGGCAUGUGUCAAAUGAAAUUGGUGAUCUCCUACAUUUGAGAUACUUGAAGUUAGAAUGCUGGAACGAAAUGAUUUUACCGCAAUCUAUUGGCAGAUUGAAGAGUUUAUACACUUUAUACAUCAAGUAUCAUACUGACAUUGUAAUUCCAGAUGCUGUGUUCAAGUUGGAACGUUUAAGGCAUAUUGUAAUAAAAAGGAUUGCGUUGUUCGGAAGAGGAUUUCGUUUGCGGCUAGGGUUCACUUCAAAAAAUAUUGAAACUUUGAAGUACAUAAUGGUGGAUGAGCAGCCGAUUGAAAAUAAUGAGGUGCUUAGGUGGACUAAUAUUCAGAGUUUAGGUAUAGUAUUUACAAGAACAGAAUAUGUGAAGCCUAUCCUAAUCUUGCUAGCCAAAUUGCAACGCCUUGGAUCAGUGUCUUUGGAGGUUUUAGACGAUUCAAACCUAUCAUAUCUAGACUUAGAACCUCUUUCUCGGUGCUGUCACCUCUCCAAACUGAGAUUAGCUGGGGGGAUAAAAGACGAUCCACAUCCGAGCUGUCAUCUUUUGAAUUUUCUUCCACCAAAUAUCGUCAAAUUAACUCUGUUUUGGUGUAGGAUGAGCCAGGAUCCAAUGGGUGUAUUGGAAAAGCUAUGUCAUUUGAGGAUUCUCUAUUUGGAAGGAGUCUAUAACGGGUGUAAAAUGAUGUGCUCUGCCAACGGGUUUCCUCAACUUGAGUCUCUUCAAAUGAUUGGUCUAGAAGAGUUGAAGGAGUGGGAAAUAGAAAAGGGUGCAAUGCCAUGCCUUCGAAGAUUGGAGUUGGCCGAUGUUGAUAGUUUAGGGAUGCUUCCAGAAGGAUUGAGGUUUAUUACUACUCUUCAAGAAAUGAUAUUAACAAAUAUGAGUUCGUCAUUGAAAGAAAGGAUUAAAGUGAUAGAUGGAAGAGAAGGAGAGGAUUUCUAUAAAGUGCGCCACAUUCCCUCCAUCCACAUUAAUUGAUCCCAAAAUAUGAGUUGAUCCACGUUUUUUGAUCUAAGUAAUUGGAGCCAACAUCACGCGAGGUAUUUUUUUUUCUGUAAAAUAAUAUAUUUUUUAUUUUCCUUUCACUCAUAUAGUUGGAGAUUGAUAUAAAAUUAAUAAAAUAACCAAAUAAAAAUAAAAAUAUUUAAUUAACAUAAAAAUUGUAAUUAAAAUAAAAUAAAAAGGAUUUGAAAUCAUUUUUCUAGAAAAACUAAAAUUUUAAUAUCACUCUAUUAAUUCAUAAAUUCCAUGUCAUAUUUUUAAUUGAUAUACGUCAGAGAUGUUGAUAUGUGUAUACCAUUUUUUUUCUUGAUGUAGGUAAUCUUCUCAGCAUUGAAAUGCACUCAGUCGGGAUAUUCAACUCCAUAAUGUGUGUUUUUAAGAAUUGGAUUGGUGAAUGAAGUGAUUGUUUAUCAAUAACUUGAUCAGAGUUCUCUUGCUUAUGAUAUUAGUUUUGAGAUCAAUUCAAUAUUUUCUUCAUUUGUCUUUUAGCAUUAGUGCUUGCUUCUACCCUCCCAAAUUGCUUUUUCUUUUUCUUUUUUUAAGUUAUCUUCUUAAUAAGUGGUUGGUUUGCGUGAUCAUGGGUUGGGCGGCUCGGCUCGGCCCGACGGCCCGCCCGAAAUAUGAGAGAGUUUGGAUAAAAUUAUAGGCCCGAAAUAUAAGUUUGGGCAAAAAACGAGGCCCAUCGUCGGGUAAAACUUUUUUGACCCUGGCCCGGCCCGAAUAUAUAAUAAAUAUUUUUUUAUUUUUAAAAUAUAUUUCCCAUUUCCCCAUUUCCCAUUAGACAUUUAGUAUUUAUAUAAUAAAUAUAUUUUUAUUUUAAAGUAUUUUUAAAAUACUUUUUUAAUUUUUUAAUUUUAAAAUACAUUUCCGAAUAUAAUAAAUUGGUUGCAAAAAGGACGAUGAGGACGAUGAGGAUGAUGUUUCUUCGGUUGCUUUUUAGGAUACUUCAUUUCUAAUUGUUGAAAAUUUAAUUUAGCUUACAAUUUAUAUUUUAUUAUAAAAUUAAAUAUGUUGAUUGGUUAAUGUAUGAAUAUUCUGGUUGGUUGAUUUUAUUUUGUAGAUUUUUUAUAUAAUUUUGGUGUUUACUAAAAAAAAGGCCGGGCCGAGCUGGGCUCGGGCUUAGAAUUUUUUCCCGGGCUGGGCCAGGCCUAGGACAUGGGCUGAAAAUUUUUUUGGGCCCGGCCCGGCCCAUGCUCACCUUCAUUUGCAUCUAAUUAUUUUGAUUGAGAUUAAUCAAUUUAAACCAAACAAAAGAAAUUCCGAAUGACCCAUAGUGUAUAUAUCCCUUGCACUGAAAAACAAAACCGAAAGUAAAAGAAGUAGCACAACAUUACAAUUUACAAGUCACUAUUUAAAAUUAAAAAUUAGAUGAUAUGAUAAAACUAUUUAAAAUUUCCUAUAACAAAAAAAAAAAACUUAUUAUUAAUACUUAUUUUCAUUUAAUGAUAUAUAAAACAGAUUCAUACAUGCAUUGACUUAUACGGACCAAUAAUGAUUAAAUUUCUUACCAAAUCUCCUGUUUGACACAGAGUCAAAACCGUAUAACGCCUAUCUCCACCCAAUAUUGUAUAAAAAAUAGAUCCAUACAUUAACUAUUGUGAAACUUUUAACCGUUUAAUCGAUGAUAUUUCAAGGAGGGAAUGCACGUACAAACCUAUACAUUACAAGUGGAGUACUUUGUUUGGGAGUGGUAGCCACCAACCCUGAUCAAAAAACGAACAUGGAGAAUACAAAAAAAAAAGUAUGAGAAUUACUCAUUUUAUUUUUUUAAUUAUUAUUAAUAUAGAUAUGGUUAUAUGUGGAAAUAUGUCUCGCAUUUUGAUCAAAACAGUGUGUGACGUCGCAACGAGAAGAAGCUCUUCGUCCUGAUGAGGAGCCGACGUCACGGCAAGAAGAAAGUCCUCAUCCCAACGACGUGAUCCUCCUUCGUCCCGACAACUAAACGCUACAUCACAAUUUGGCGACAUGUUACUUAAGUUUUUUGGCUUUCUUUUAUCAGUUAAACUUUGUUUUAGUUUCCCACUUUAAACUCUGAUUAACCUAAUAAUAUUCAAAUCAUAUAUGCUAUCAAUUUCAACCUAUAAAUAGUCUUAGUUACUCUAGGUUUUAUACAAUAGAAAUAUUAAGAUCGAGAUAAUUCUAUUCUUUGAGUUUGAAAGGUUUUUAUUUUGGGGCUUUGGGUUUUUUUUAUUCUCCCUCUUUUGUACUCUCUUUUUAUUAUAGUGAAAUUUCCUUUUAUCCAUGGGUUUUUAUCCUCUUUUAAGGAGUUUUUCCACGUAAAUUUGUGUGUUCAAUAUUUUCGAUUUCUACUUUAUUUACUUGUUCGUUGUAUACACCGGGGUUAAUUCCUAAUUAACUGAUAUCAGAGAUAGUUUGGUUUUCGCAUUUAACUCAUUCGGAGAUUGCUGCAUCAAGGUUUGAUAUUGAUAAGUUUGACGACAUCACAAAUUUUCAAUAUGUGGUAAGUUCAUAUGUCAGUAAUACUGAUUCAGAGCGAUCUUGAAAGAAUCCUUACAGAGAAGAUGUCCACAGACAUGGAUCAAUCACAAUGAGAUAGGUUAGAUAAAAAAGUUCUAUUCACAAUUCAAUUAUGUCUAACAAAUAAUAUGUUACAAAAGUUACCGAAGGAAAAAAUAAUGUAUACAUUAUUGAAGAAACUGGAAAUUCUUGGCCAACGGGUUAGUGUUAAAACAACGUCUCUACAUGUUCAAAAUAACCGAAGCAUAGUGUUUUGAUAAGGUUAACAAAUGAAAAUGUAGUAAAUUCAGGGAAACUAAGAUAACAGUGUUAAAUGCUUCAUUUUCAAUCAACGAAAAGCAUUUAUAUACAUGGUUCUGAAAAAUAAAAAUCUUAGCCUCACAUUUAUAAGCAGUUUUACUCUAAUAUGAGACAAAAAUUACGGCGAGGUGAUUAGAAGAGGCAUUCACUAACCUCACACGAUAAUGUUGUUUAAUCAGCGCUCAAAGUAACUGAUGAAGCUGCUGAUUUUCUUUCCGGAGAGACUCAACCUCUUCCAUCAGUUCAGCUGUGUUCUGUAAUAUGGAGCUCAUCACACGAGACAUCUCCAUCUGUUCCAAUGAUUUUCGUGAAUUAGAGCAAUUGACAUGACAACGUUGUUUAAUCAGCGCUCAAAGCAAUUGACAAUCAAUGUAGUGUCAUGACCGGAAAUAAAAAACUAUGAAAUAUAUAGAGAUUUGUAAAAAUCCUUCAUCCAGGAUGACUUCACUACUCCAAUGCAUAAAAAGACCAAAGUGAUUAGAGAAAUUAAUGUAGAAAUGAAUAUUUGUUUAACCAAACCAGAUAUCAUACAUUCAUUUCUGGAAGAACUCCUGAUGCCGCUGCAGUCAAUGAAUCAAACCUCGAUAACAGGCUAUUAAACAGCUCUUCUCUGGUUUCAGCUCCUGUGUUCUUUGUUUUUGGAGAAGCUGCCAAAUGAGAUGUUCCAUCACUGAAGCAGAUGUAGUACUAAUUCUCUCAGCAUAUGUUGAAAACCUUCGAGGCGGUGCAAAAGAUGCUAGUUCUAGGCUGUGAGUCAAGGCUGCCAGCUCUAGUAAUGCCUCUUGAACCAAAAGAUAAAGCAGACAUGGAGCUCGAGGAGAAAUGUUCAGGAAAUCCCAAUGAAGUCUCCUGAUUUGAAGAAACGUCUUUCCUGUGCAAAUUUUCAUAGCUCAGGUUAGAACUAGUCUGACUGAGCAUUGAAGACUGUCGGAGCAGAGUGCUAAAGCUAAUAGCUAAAAUAGACUCCUGGGAUAUUCUGCUUGCUAAAUUUGACUAAGAAGGCCAUGGAAUUAAUUAUAUAUAACUUCAGUAACCAUGUAAGCCAAGCAAGGCCUGACAUUGACGAAUAAGCAAUUUCAGGUAUCAUCAACGAAUAAUCAAUUUUGGGUGUCGAGUCAAAAACUUGAGGAUUUUAGUUUCGCAAAUGAGGCCAUGAACUUUUGUUUUUUGCAUAAAGCAUUAUGAGAUCAGAAUCGAGGAAAAAAAACAUCAUUCAAAUGCAAUGCAAAGAGCUAAAUGUUUGAAGCAAGCUUGUCCAUCCAUGCUACUUAAGCGCAUCCUCCUCUCUUGCUAAGUACCUACACUAAUGCCAGCUAGAAACAUAUGGUAAUUGUAUAGCACAACUCGUCCACAGUAAUAAAGAAGAAGCUUUAGAAAGCAUGAAACUUCUCUCUUUGUUCAUAUGUAAAUUUAGUGCAUGAUUUAAUAAUCUACAAUGACUGUUGUUCAAAAUAUCUUUUAAGUCAGCUGCCAAUCAACAACACACAUCCCAUUGGUAACUUUUAUUUUGUGAUGUAUGCAUUCGUAGCUAAAAACCUUACACAUGACAAAAUGGUUAAAAACAUAAUAUAUAAAAAUUUUGGAAUUUAACCAACAUGAUCUACCUGAAAAUCAACAUAAUGAGUAUGAAAAUAAAGGAUAUUCUCAUCGUUUCAAUUUUCUUUCAAAUUCAUGCUUAUAUUUUAUAAAUUUUGUUGAUAUUAUUUAUCAACAGAAAUGGAGAGAUGGGAAGAGAAAUGGAAAGGUGAGACAGUGGUCUAGAAGCAGAGCCAUUAGAAAGAUCCCCCAAAUGGUCUAAAGUCCGUCUCUUUUUAUUAUACCGGGUUGGGCUAUUAUAUAAUAAAAUAUAAAUAUAUAAAAAUUAUUAUCAUCUUAUAAAAAUUUGUCCCCCACUUAGCUGAAGAAGAGUUAUAUUGUAACUCUUCUUAAAUUAUCUGAUAUUUAUGAAGUGCGUGUAAUUUGGGGCUUACUAUAUAUGUUUUACUAUUUUAGAGACUGCAGUAUUGAACCUGCGAGCCUUAGGAUACCAGUUGGGAGCGUAAGCUCGCGCUAGGUGUUUUGGAGAAGCGAAGGAAAACAUACAUAGUCUGGCAUAUGGCCGUAUGACCCACACGGCCUGGACACACAGGCAUGUCCAUGGCCAUGUGACACUGGGUUAAUCACCCCAUUUUUAUUUUAUUUUAUUUAUUAUUAUUUCUUAUAUUAUUUAUUUUUAUUUUACUAAAUUUUUUAUUUUUUAUUUAUUAUUCUUAUACUUAUAUUUAAAUUUUUUUGCUAUUUCUAUUUUUUAAUAUUUUUUUACUAUUAUUAUUACAAUUACCUUUAAGUUUAUUGGUAUCAUUAAGUUUUUUUUUCGUUUUAUUUUUUAUCUUUCUUUUUAAUUUUGUUUUUAGUUGCUUUAUUAUUUUAUUAUUAUUAUUUUCUUCAACUUAUUUUCAUUAUUAUCUUUUGAAAUAUAUAUGGUUGUUUCUAAUCGAGUUAUAACCUCUUAAUCUUCUUUAUUAUUUGUGUUUAUUUCCUUAUUAGUUUGCUCGGAAUCAUGCGUUACAUUUAGAUUGACUUCAAUUCUGCUUUUUACUAUUCUGAGUAUUUCAUCCAAUAUUCAGGGCUCUUUCAGUUUUCUCCCUCUCUUAUGAUAUUCUGUUUAUACUGUGAUUAUAUAUGUUUGUACAUUGAGGACAAUGUACAUUUAAGUGUGGGGAGGUUAUCCAUAUAAUUAUUAGAAAAUCCAUGAAUUAUGUCUUGUAUUUAAGUAAUUUUCUCAUACUACUAUUAGAAUGAAUUUUUAUCGAUUUGUGAUUUUUAUUCAUGUGUUUUGGAUUAAAUUCAUAAAUAUUUGUGCAUUGGUUGUUUUAAACUUUACGACAUAAGAGAAUCAAGCAUGAUAAGUUUAUUUUCAGAAUAAAAAAAUUUAGGUUGUUUCCCUGAAUUGAUGUAUUAUUUUGAAGUUUUAAAUUUACAAGUUUGACAUCAAAAACCAUAAUUUUUUGUGAGAUUUUGAGCGUUUAGAGCAUACACUUUUCUUGCUUAUUUUAUUAUUGGUUAUGAGUGUGUCAAUUUGAUUUAUUAUUCUAGAACUUGCUUCGAUUAUGCAUGUCAAGACCACACCUUUGAGUUGAUAUACUGAGAUGAUAAAGACACUUAGGUUUUAACUCACUUAUUCCAUAAAAAGCCUACCUACAUAAUUAACCCUUAGUAAACCCCUUCGAGCCUAACACACCGUUUCUUGAUUUACCCAUUAAUGAUAAUAACCCAUAACUCAUUUUUUGUUCAUUGAGAAAUUUUCCCAUUUUAUUUACUCCAUUUUUAUCGAGCUUUGAUUUAGUUAAUUGCCUGAUUAAGCCUCUUGAUUAAGUUGCUGAAUUAUUUCUUCUUAUUUACAUAUAAAAAAAAUACAUAUAUAGUUAUUUAGUUCUUUGUUAUUUGAGCUUGAAUAGUUAAAUUCAUAUUUUGAGAAGAAGCUUGUGUUAUUCUUGAAUAGUUCCGAUUGAUGUAAUUAUUUUUAAUUCAGCAUUUGUUAUUUUUGUAAUUUGGUAAUUUAUCAAUUCAAUCUCAAUUCUAACCUUCUUUUUCAGCCUUUCUCCACACCUUUAACCUAAUCCCCAUUACAACCUUAUAAAGACCUUUUGAUUUGUGUAUCAUCUCAUUUUAUAGUGGUGGAGAUUUGAUUUUCAUGCAAGCCUAUGGUAAUGACUUUUCAUGUUUGACUGUUGAGUACUUAAUUUUUGAACCUUAAAUACUUUGAGUAAUUUGAGUGAAUCUUUAGUGAGGAUGUCAAUUGUUUUUGAUUUUGAAUUAAAGGUAAUUACUUAAAUAAGGGGAAAUACCUAUGUUUUCAUGAUUUCAAAAUACUCGACUUAGAUUGUUUGAAUCUUUAAUGCUCUUUUAGUUGAAUUAUCAAUGUAUGCUUAUUUGUGAAUUAUGACAAAACAUUAUUGAUGAGAAUUACAAGUUGAGAAAGAUUAAUUUUAAUUGUGAGUUGUGGAUUUUGCUUGAGGACAAACAAACGCUUAAGUGUGGGGAUAUUUGAUAAGCCAUAAAAGUAACAUGUUUUUAAUCCCAUUCUUGAUGCAUUUUUUGGAUGAUUUAUUAUAUGUGAAUUAGUGAAUUUGAUGCUCCUAAUCCUUUAAAUUAAUGUUUCUAUACUUAGGUGAGCAUAGGGACAACGAGCCAAAUUCGGGCAAAAAGAGCUGUUUUCAGGAUCCACACAGCCUAGGCAUUUCCACACGGGCUGGCCACAUGCCCAUGUGCCAGCCUGUGUCGAUUUUGCACCCUGCUUCCCUGUUACGCAGAAAAACCUAAUUUUUAGGGUUUCUGAGCAUUCUAAAGUUUAUAAAAACUUAUUAGAAGAAGACCUAAGAGGAGAUACAGAGCUAAAUGAAGAAAAGACUCGAAGAACGCCAACGGAUUAAACUCAAAAGUAGGAUCUCUUUCAAGACUGAAGAUCUCCAUUCAAUUUCUCUCAAAGUUUUUGGGUUUUUUUAUGUUUUGUUGUUUUCUUAGGAGAUGUUUUCCUCCCAAAGUAUGAACUAAAUUCCCUAGAUACCUAAGGAAGAUGAAACCUAAGACAGAUCUUAUUAUUUGAUGUUUCGGAAACAUGAUAAAUAUUUGUUCUUGAUCUUAAUUAUGUGUUCUUAUUUCAUGUUUUAAUGUUUUCAGGAUAUUAGUUCAUGAUUGAUGUGCUUAUUCAGUAAAGCAAAAGUCCAUUUUUAAGAGUAGAUCUGACAUAAUUGAGUGGGGUUGCAUGCAAUCCUAGAAAUAGGACGACAUAAAUCUACCGGAUUGGAGUCAAAUCUAAAAGGGUAAUCUAUAGAUCGAGUUAAUGCGGCAAUAGAGGUUUUAAUUAGAAAGCAAUUUCAAUUAAUCAACCUAGAGUCAGUUGUUUUUAUUCUCGAAAGAGAUAUUAACAUAAGUUAGGGAUUUCUACGGAUCAAGACAAGUGAAUAAAUUGUUUAAUUCAUAUUUAGAAUAAUAAGUGAAGUCUAGGCGGAUUCUUUCCUGGGUUAUUGUCUCUCUCAUCGGUUUUCUUCAAAUAUUUUCCUACUUUAUUCUCUGUUUCGUCUUAGUAAUUAGGUUAGUUAAGAUUAGGUUAAAAUAAAUCCCUUCAAUUUAUUCGGCUAGAUAAUAAAAAGAUAGUAACUACUAGUACUUUUAGUCCUCGUAGAUACUAUAUUCCCGACUCACAAUAGCUAUACUACCAUUCGAUAGGUGCGCUUGCAUUUGUCGUGAUUUUAGUUAGUUCGUGACGUCAUCAUGGCCUUCAUUGUUUGCCCGCUUACACUAAUAAAAAACUUUUCUACCUCUGCUUUUCUAUAGUUUAGAUUUUUUUUUUAUGAAACAACUUUAAAUGUCAUGUAUCUACGAAUCAAAAUCCAAACAGUUUUCUUCUCUGUUCUUUGACAUCCACUAUCAGAUUGACUUGAUCUAAUAUACGUUCUUUUACUCAUCGAUGAGUUUUGAUCCAUCGUAUUGUUUAUCGAAUUGUCACUUUAACCUCGCUAGUCGGACUUUAAAAAAAAUAAUUCAAUUACUUAAAUAAAAACUUUUGAAUAGACCAGUAACUUAAAUGAAAGCCUUCAAAUAGUUUAAUGAUCAUUUUAUAUUUUUUAAAGUUAAAUGAUCAAAACAUAUAUUUAUUAAUAGUUUAAUAACCUUGAGUGUAAUUUACCCAAAUAACUAUCUUUUUCCUUUUGAGUUAUUAGUUGGAAGAAAUUAGUUGAGAGUUGGCCUACUAUUGUUAUUAAUAAUUACUUAUAGUUUGGAAGAUAGGAGUUGAGGGUUGUGCUAAUAAUGUCAGUGAUAAUAACUUCAUCUUAUUAUUUGGAAGAUAUGAAUUUGAGGGUUGGCCUACUAAUGUAGUGAUAAUAACUUCCCCUUACCUUUUCUUCGCAUGCCAUUUUACUUUUGCAUGCCUUACAAUGUGGAAAUUCAAAACAUCUUUUGCUUUCAAUUUGGAAAUUCAAUUUGGUAGAAAUGAGUUUGUUUAUGAGUGACAUAGGUAUGGUAUAAAAAAUAGCAUAAUAAAAUUAAUAAACGAUUGGAUUAAAUUAUAUCUAAUGUCACUAAACUACUAGUAAAUUUACGUUUUUCUCAAUUAACGUAAAAAAGUUAUACAUAAAAUGGUUACUAAACUAUUUGAAAAUUUUCAUUUAAAUUACUAGAUUAUUAAAAUCAAUUCUAUAUAGCCUUUAACGUUCACACUCCUUACACCAAUAGAAAACUAUUCUGCCAUUGCUCUUCUAUAGUUUAGGUUUCUUUUUUCAUAAAACAACUUUAAAUGAUACAUAUCUACGAACCAAAAUUCAUAUAGUUUUCUUCUCCGUUCUUCGACACAAACCUUCAUAUUGGCUUGAUCUAAUAUAUAAUCUUCUACUAGUCAAUGAAUAUUGAUCCAUCGUACCGUUCAUCGAAUUGUUGCUUGGACCUUGUAAGCCAGACUCUUUUUUUUUUUUAACUUAAUAGUCCAACGACUUAAAUAAAAAACUUUUGAACAGCUAAUGAUUUAAAUGAAAACUUUUGAAUAAUUAAAUGAUUAUUUUAUAAAAUUUUAAAGUUAAAUAACCAAAACGUAAACUUAUUAUAUUUUAGUGACAUUGAAUGCAAAUUACCCAAAUAUUUCAAUUAUGGGCAAUGACUGUUGGGUGGAAGAAAUGAAUUGAGGGUAGGCCUACUAACGUGAGCGAUCCUAACUUUUCUUCACAUGUCAUUUUACGUUAUUGAUUUUGUAUCUCAAAGUUUUAAAUUUGAAAACCAUAGAAUUUAAUGUCUGUUUCCUACAAAAUUAUUGCACGCCAAUCCAAUGUGGAAUUAAUUGACAUUUAAUUUUAUUACUAAAUAAAUGAUAAUUAAAAUUGUUAGAAUUUUAUUUAAUUAAUAACUUUAUUUUAUAUAAAUAAAAUUAACAUAAAUUUUUUAAAUAAAAAAAAAAGAUAUUUUUAUAAUAAUGUCAAAUUUAAAUUAUAAUCAUCUUUUAACUGAUAGUUAAUUAAGUGAUGAUUUGAUGAAGCUGGAUCCGAUGAGUGCAUUAAAAAGCUACUUUGUUUGAGGAAUCUUAGAUUAUAGGGUGAAGAAUGCGAGGGGAUUAAAAUUAUUUGUUCUGUAAAUAGAUUUCCUCAACUUGAUUCUCUUCAUAGCGUGAUCUAAAGGAAUUAGAGGAGUGAGAGAUAAUAAAAAGACGCAAUGCCACAUCCAACAACUUUUUAUUUUAUCAAUUUAAUCAAAUUUUUUAACAACACAUUAUUUUAAUGAUAAGGUUGAAGUCUUAUAAAUUUUGAAAUUUUAAAUUUAAGUUUUGAAUCUUAUUUUAUGUAAAUUAUGUAUGUAUCCUCCUCAAAUAAAUAAAUUUCCCUUCUUAAAGAAAUCACCAUUAAAACUCAAAAUGAUAUCACUUGUCACGGGGCUAAGUCUUUCAUCUCGCAAUCCGUGCGACUUUAGGCGAUCCGUUCUUCCAAACUCGCCUAAGUCAGCCUUCACUUAAGUGAGGAUUCCUUAAGAACUCCUCAAACGCACCAGUUUAUAUAGCAGAAGCAAAUAAUGUCAAAAGAAGCCACAAAGAACAACAGAAAGCUACAGAAAAGAACACAAACAAAGUGUUUGAGUAAAUGCUCUCAAAAUUUUAUUACUCCUAAGAAUUUAAGUUACAAUGGAUGGAGUCCGUACAAAUGAGGGGGAGGUUCUCUAUUUAUAGUUGAGCUCCCCCAAAAUCGACGGUCAAGAUACAUUUACAUCGACGGACGAGAUUAACCAUAUCCCUUGAUUUUAGGGAUUUACAAGAUAUGUCAUAUAUCAAAUCUAAUCUAAUCUUUACAAGAUAUGAUUCAUAUCAAUCUUCUAAGAUUAGUUACCAAAAUAGCUUAAGUUGCCAUAUCUUCAUUAUCGAGCCAACCAGGCUUCAAUCUAACAGUCUUCUUCAAUAGUUCUUUGAAUCGGGUCAGUUCUAGUGGGCUAAAUGAUCCACAUCUUAUCGACAGAUCUCAAUGGGGCGCAUCUUGUGCCAUGGUCACGGGCUUUAUUGUUUUUUUUUUCACUCAUCAAUUUUCACUCAAAUUUUUCUUAUUUUCGUUCAACAUUCUUUGUACUACUGGUUUCUAAGUGGUCCUUUCAUUCUUGAUAAAAUUUUAUAUUCGCUGAGUAAAAAGAAUUGCCUAAUAUCUUCCACUUUAAGAAUUGUGAAGUUUAUUUAUGGGUAAUUUAGGUAUUAUAUAAAAAAAACACAAAAAAUAAUAAAUAAUUGGAGUAAACUACUCCAAAGGUCACUAAACUACUAGUAAGUUUACGUUUUGUUCAAUUAACUUCAAAAAGUUACAAAAUGAUCACUAAGCUAUUAAAUAUUUUUAUUUAAGUUAUUGAGUUGUUAAAAUAUUGCUAUAUGACUUUCAUUGUUCACACCGCCUGCUCCAAUAAAAAAAAUUCUUUUGCCCCUACUCUUCUACAAUUUAGUUUUUUUUUCAUAAAGUAACUUUAAAUGUCAUAUAUGAACUAUAAUCCAAAUACUUUUUUUCUUCAUUCUUCAACACCGAUCAUCAUAUUGAUUUGAUCUAAUAUAUAUUCUUUUACUCGUCGAUGAGUAUUGAUCCAUAUUUAUUAAAAUUUUAAUAAAUUUUUAAUAAGUUUUCUAAACGGGCCUCUUUUUUUCACAAACUCAUAUUUCAGGCCUAUAUUUUUACCCAAACUCUCCCAUUUUACGUGUGAGCUGUCGGGCCGGUUAUGAAUUUUGAAAUUCUAAAUUUAAAUUAUAUAUGAAACUCCCUCAAAAUAAAUAAAUUUCUCCUCUUAUAUAAAACCUUUUUUUUACCAUUAAAUUUUACAAAAAAAAAAAUCGUGAUUGUUUUAUUUUCUCAAUAUUUUCUCUUAUUUUCGUUCAACAUUCUUUGUACUGUUGUUUUCCAAGUCGUCCUUUCGUUCUGGAUAAAAUUUUAUAUUGGCCGGGCAAAAAAGAAUUGGAGGACAUGGGUUUAAACAUUAAUAAACGAGCACUAUCCUUCACUUUUUGCAAUUGUGAAGUUUACUGAUUGGUAAUUUAGGUAAUGUAAAAAAACAACACAUUAAAAAUAAUAAAUAAUUGGAGUAAACUACAUUCAAGGUCAUUAAACUACUAGUAAGUUUACGUUUUAAUCGUUUAACAUUAAAAAGUUACAAAAUUGUUACUAAAUUAUUCAAAAGUUUUCUUUAAGUCAUUAAGCUGUUAAAAUCACUACUAUAUGGUCUUCAUUGUUUGCCCGCUAACUCUUCUACCCCUGCUUUUCUAUAGUUUAAGUUUUUUUUUUUAAGAAACAACUUCAAAUGUCACGUAUCUACGAAUCUAAAUCUAAAUAGUUUUGUUCUCCGUUCUUCGGCACCAAGCAUCAAAUUGACUUGAUCUAGUAAAUGUUAUUCUACUCGUCAAUGAGUAUUGAUCCAUUGUACCAUUCAUCGAAUUGUUGCUUUAACCUAACUAAUCAGACGUUUUAAAAAAAAGCUAAUAAUCUAAUGACUUAAAUAAAAAUUAUUGAAUAGAUCAGUGACUAAAAUAAAAAUAUUUAAAUAGUUCAAUUAUCAUUUUAUAACUUUUAAAAUUUAAUGAAUUUUGUGUCCACUUGCCUUGUCUUUCUUAAAAAGAUAAAAAGAAAAAAAAAUUGCUUUUUAAUUGGAAGAAAUUAUUUUAUAAUUGUUAUGAAUUUUUCAUUAUUAAAUCAACAUCUAUUGAUAUCAAAAUAAAUUUGAUUUACUCUAUAUUUUUCUAUAAACAUUACUAUUAAUCAAUAACAAUAUGUUGGUUAUUAUAGAAAAACUGGAAUAUGUUUGUGCUUUUCCAUAGUUAUAGCUCUGUUUAGGAUGUGGUAAACAGUAUCAGUUGGACGAGAAGUUAUUUGCCACCCUCAAUGACUAUGUUCUAUUCGAAUUUUAUGGCUUUUGAUUCAAAAUGAUUAGCUUCAGAAAGUGAUUAGGUUAAGCUUAAUACAAAUGGUGUAAUUACGUUUAGCUCUCACUCGAUUACAAUUAAAGGAGUCAUUAAAUAUGUUAAUAGUAAUUAAUUAUGUGAUUAGUCGAUGACAUUAUAAGGAAAUAUGAAGUGUAUAAAAUUGAAGCAAGAUCGAUGUUAGAAGGGCUACAACUAACUUAGGACAAGGGUUAUCCACAUGUUAAGUUUGAAUAUAUGUUAUUUUAUUUAAAAAAAGUUACGUUCCAUAAUAAUAAUAAUAAGUUCAGCUAUUUGCUGUCCAAAGAACAGUAAUUACCAACCUCACACCCAAAAACAGCUCUUCAAAACUUCUGAUAAAGAGAGAUACUUAUCCACAAAUACAUAAAAUAUUCUACUAAUACUUGCAGAUCAGUUUGUGGAAUCUGUUCUGGACCAGCAGGAGAAAUGGAACAGGCUAUUGUGUCCUUAGCUGUUGAAAGAAUUUCAGAUUUACUCAUCCAUGAAGCUGUUUUCCUCAAAGAUGUGAAAGAUCAAGUUGAGAGCCUAAGGGCUGAACUGAAGCGAAUGCAGUGUUUCUUGAAGGACGCGGAUCGCAAUCUUGAACAAGAUGCGCGUUUCCAGAAUCGGGUGUCGGAAAUCAGAAAUCUUGCUUAUGAUGCUGAAGAUGUCAUCGACUCUUUUAUUCUUAAAGCAGCAUAUCAACGAGGUUUUCAUGGGAUUGUCAAGAGAUUCACCUCCAUUUUCACCAAACCUUAUCAUCUGCACAAAAUCGGGUUGCAGCUCAAAGCAAUCAUGACCAAGCUCCAAAACAUUUCCGAGAAUCUUCCAGCUUUUGAAAUACCCGAUGAUGGAGAAGGCUCUAGCUCAAUUUUCAAGGUGCAGCAACAGUUUAGAAGGACAUACUCACAUGUCGAGGAAGAGGACGUUGUUAGCUUGGAGGUUAGCACCAAGGAUGUCAUGACCAAAUUGAUGACUGAAGAAGAUAGACCCCACGCCGUAGUUUCCAUAGUCGGCAUGGGGGGCCUCGGUAAGACUACUCUUGCCAGAAAAGUAUAUAAUCAUGUUGAUGUGAGACGCCAUUUUGAUUUCUUGGCUUGGUUUUCUAUCUCUCAACAAUGUAAGCCGAGAGAGGUUUUGCUUAGUGUCUUGAAGAAAGUUCUCUCUCCUUCUAACAAUGAUAGGGAGAAAAUUGAGAAAAUGGACGAGAUUGAGCUGACGAGAACGCUUUUUGAUGCUUUGAAAGAAAAGCGGUAUUUGGUGGUCCUCGAUGAUAUUUGGAGAAGCGAGGAUUGGGAUAUUCUUAAACCUGCUUUUCCACGAGGAAGAAAGGGAAGCAAAAUAUUGUUCACAACACGCAACAGGAAUGUGGCUUCACGAGCCGAUUCUUGCAACACUCCCAUCGAGCUCUCAUUUCUUACGGAUGAUGAAAGUUGGAAUCUUUUGUGUAAGAAAGCAUUCCCACGGAGCAAAAUGGGUUCUCAAUGCUGCUCAGAAGAAUUUGUGAAGCUUGGAAAAGAGAUGGUGAAAAAAUGUGGAGGCUUGCCUUUAGCAAUUGUUGUGUUGGGUUGCUUGCUGGCAACAAAACAGUCCGUGGCUCAAUGGGAGAUGGUUCAUAAAAACAUCCAUGGACACUUAAAUGAGCUCCCACACCAAGAUCGUCAAUAUGGUGCAGUGAACAGAAUUUUGGUUUUAAGCUACAAUGACUUGCCUUAUCCUUUAAAACCAUGCUUUUUGUAUCUUAGUCAUUAUCCAGAAGAUUGGGAGAUACCUAAAAAAGAACUCAUUCGAUUAUGGAUCGCUGAAGGUUUCAUUCCGAAAACCGAAGAAUUCUUGAUGGAGGAUUUAGGUGAAAAUUUCCUAGAAGAGCUUAUAGAUAGGAGCUUAGUUCAAGUUAGCAGGCGAGACUAUACAGGAACAAAUGUCGAGACAUGUCGAAUGCAUGAUCUCUUGAGAGACUUAUGCACGAAGAAAGCAAGAGAGGAGAAGUUCUUGGAAAUUAUUCAACAACCACUGCAUGAAUAUGAUGUGACAUUGGCAAAAUCUAUGCUACGAAGAAUUUCUAUUCAUCCUAGUGAACGGAAUUUUGUUUAUUUGAAGGGAGAACAUCCAAAAUUACGUUCUUUGUUGUUUCCUCAAAAUGUGGAACCGGUUGAAUUCCACAUUUCAAAAUACAAAAGCUUCGAAUUUUUAAGGGUGUUGACUCUUCAAAAAGGAAAAUACAGUUAUGAAGAGUGGCAUGUGUCAGCUGAAAUUGGUAAUCUCCAACAUUUGAGAUACUUGAAGUUAUACUACAAUAACAAAAUGAUUUUGCCGCGAUCUAUUGGCAGGUUGAAGAAUCUGUACACUUUAUACAUCAAGUAUUGUUAUGACAUUGUAAUUCCAGAUGGUGUGUUUAAGUUAGAACGUUUAAGGCAUAUUGUAAUAAAAUUGAAUGGGACAUUACCCUUAUAUGGAUUUCGGUUGCGGCAAGGGUUCACUUCAAAAAAUAUUGAAACUUUGAAGUACAUGGUGGUGGAUGAGAAGGCGGCUGAAAAUAAUGCGGUGCUUAGGUGGACUAAUAUUCAGAGUUUAGGAAUGGCAUUUACCAGAGCACAAUAUAUGAAGCCUACCCUAAUCUUGCUAGCCAAAUCGCAACGCCUUAGGUCAGUGUCCUUAAGUUUUUUUGAUGUCUCACACCUAGACUUAGAACCCCUUUCUCAAUAUUAUCACCUCUCCAAACUGAAAUUAUGGGGGCGGAUAGAAGAUGAGCCACAUCCGAACGGUCAUGUUUUGAAAUUUCUUCCAUCAAAUAUUGUCAAUUUAACUUUGUGCACCUGUAGGCUGAGACAAGAUCCAAUGGUCGUAUUAGAAAAGCUAUGUCAUUUGAGGAUUCUCCAUUUGCAACAAGCAUAUAUUGGGAGUAAAAUGGUGUGCUCUGCAAAUGGAUUUCCUAAACUUGAUUAUCUUCAAAUGUCUUGGUUAUUUGAGUUGGAGGAGUGGGAAAUAGAAGAAGGUGCAAUGCCAUGCCUUCGAGAAUUGAAGUUGGCCGAUGGACAGAGUUUAAGGAUGCUUCCAGAAGGAUUGAGGUACAUUACUACUCUCCAAGAAUUGAAUUUAAUACAAACAUCUUCGUCAUUGAAAGAAAGGAUUAAAGUGAUAGAUGGAAAAGAAGGAGAGGAUUUCUAUAAAGUGCGCCACAUUCCCUUCAUCCACAUUGACAGGUAUUUAUUUCUAUGAAAUAAUAAUUUUUACGUUCUUUUUUCUUUUCUUUUUCACCCAUAGAGUUAGAGAUUGAUAUAAUAUUGAUAAAAUAACAGAAUAGAAGAAUAUAUAUUUAAUUCCAUGAAAAUUAUAAUUAAAAUAUAAAAAAAGAAUUUUAAAUAUAUUUUUUAGAAAAACUAAAUUUUUAAUAUCAUUUUAUUAUUUCAUAUUUUUAAUUAUUAUACAUAAGAGAUGAUGAUAUAUCCAUAUCAUUUUUUUUUCUUGAUGUAGGUUAGCCUAAUUAGCACUGGAACGCACUUUGCCGAUAUAUCUAAUUUCAUUAAGUGUGUGUAUGUUUUUUUUAUAAGAAUUAGAUUGCUAUAUAGUAUGAAUUUUGAAUGAAGUGAUUGUUUGCUAUAUAUCUAAGGCUCACUUUCGGCCUCCCAAUUUGCUUAUUUUUUUAAAAAUUUAUCUUGUUAUUGAUUGGUCAUUUGCAUCUAUUUGAUUGAAUUAAUGAAUUUAAAUCAAAGAAAGAAAUACUAAGUAACUCAUUAGAUGUUAAAUGGUUAAAUUCAUUAUUUAAAUAGUAAAAUAACCCCUUUAAAUUUACAACUCACUAUUUCUAUUAAAAAUUAGAUGAUACAAUGUCAAUCAAAACAUAUAACAUGUAUACUUUUAUAUGACAUAACAAAAAUAUGUACGAUUUCUUAUAACCAAAUGUAUAAAACGACUUAUGUGGAAUGAUGAUUAAAUAUUUUUAUCAAGUACCCGUUUAACCAAAAAAGAACAAAGUAGCGACUCAACUUUCUAUUAAAGACUUGUUUUAUUAAGGUUACACAAAACAAAAUGUAGUAAAUUCAGGGAACUCUAUGUACUAAGAUAAUCGUGUUAAAUGCUUCAUUUUCAAUCAACCGAGAAGCAUUUAUAUACAUGUUUCUGAAAAGUAAAAAUCUUAGCCUCACAUUUGUAAGCAGUUUUACUCUGAUAUGAGACAAGCCUACUGAUGAAACAGAAGUUACGGCAAGGUGAUCAGAAGAGGCAUUCACUAACCUCACACGAUAAUGUUGUUUAAUUAGCGCUCAAAGCAAUUGACGAAGCUGCUGAUUUUCUUUCCGGAGAGACUUAACCUCUUCCAUCAGUUCAGCUUGGUUCUGUAAUAUGGAGCUCAUCACACGAGACAUCUCCAUCUGUUCCAAUAAUUUCCACAAAUUAGAGCUGAGAAUAUGUACAUGAAAGCCAAAGCAACAUAAAGGAAAGGACGAUAGGAAAAUACCUCCUGCAUGUGGAAUUGUCUUAAAAUUUCAAUAUGCAAGUUCCUCAUAUCUCCAUGAAUGGAUUUCUAAAAUGAAUCGAGGGUUUCUUCUAGAGUUCGUUGAAAUAGCUGAAGAGUAAAGUUGCUUCCUUGUUGAGAUGCCUUGGGGGGUAGUAAUGUUCCUCCCUAUUAUGGUCACAAUCAAUGCAGUGUCAUGCCCGGAAAAAAAACUAUGAAAUAUAUAGAAAUUCGUAAAAAUCCUUCAUCCAGGAUGACUUCACUACUCAAAUGCAUAAAAAGACCAAAGUGAUUAGAGAAAUUAAUGUAGUGAAUAGUUAUUUAACCAAACCAGAUAUCAUACAUUCAUUGCUGGAAGAACUCCUGAUGCCGCUGCAGUCAAUGAAUCAGACCUCAAUAAAAGGCUAUUAAACAGCUCUUCUCUGGUUUCAGCUCCCGUUUUUUUUGUUUUUGGAGAAGCCACCAAAUGGGAUGUUCCAUCACUAAAAGCAGAUGUAGUACUAAUUCUCUCGGCAUAUGUUGAAAACCUUCGAGGCGGUGCUAAAGAUGCUAGUUUUGGUGAGUCAAGGCUGGCAGCUCUAGUGAUGCCUUUUGAACCAAAAGAUAAAGCAGACAUGGAGAUCAAGGAGAAAUGUUCAGGAAAUCCUAGUGAAGAAGCCUCCUGAUUUGAAGAGACAUCUUUCGUGUGCAAAUUUUCAUAGCUCAGGUUAGAACUGGGCUGACUGAGCAUUGAAGACUGAUCUUGUCCAGCAUAAAUAGAGCUCGUUGUCAGACCACCGGAAGCUGGCAUCCCAAAACGAGAUGGCAGCUGGCGAAGGUGAGCAAAUUUGUCAGAUAUCUUCUCACCACCCCAAGCUUCUGGAGGAGUGAUGGAGGUCUCUUCACUCUUGGAAGAUGGUGUAGGGGUAGAUUCCAAAGCUGUAAAAGACUUCGUCACAUCCUGAAAAGAUAAGUGGUGUACAAACAUCAUUAUGGGGAAAAAGACUGAAAAGCCAUAUCGAUUGCUCUCAAAAAACCAAAUUAAGUAUCAGAAACAGUUCUAUGACUAAAGAACAUAGGAUAUAAUAGCCUGUGAAUCAAGCUCAGCCAAUUCAUUUAUUAAGAGAAAUGAAAGUUGUUGGAAAUGAUAUCCCACUGCAGAUGAUAGUAAGUUGUCUGCAAUUGUAAAUCAGAGAAAUCCUCAAAACAUGCAAAGCCAUACUAAAAACACAGUUGAUCUAUUGGACUUGUUAAUACAAACACUUAUAAUGCUCCAAACAUACAACAUAGUGCACAAAAAGACCACAGUCCCAUUCUAUGCAAAAAUGACAACUUAGGAUCAACUCAUAUACUUGCAUGAAACUAGCAGAACAUUACCAUGAAGAUUUAAAGUAAUAUCUUGUACAAAAAAAUCAAAAUAAAUAUGUUAUGCAUUACUGUUAUCAAUAACAAAAAAGCAAAAAGCAAAAAACCUGUUGAGACAUUGAACUGGACUUCCAAUCAAGUAUUGGGUGAUCACUGGCUCCAUCAUCAGCAAAAGCAAACCUCCUGCUAGAAGGAAACAGCAGGGAGGAUGGCUUCUUAUCACUGGGUAGGUGCUCUUUCUUUGCACCAUCAUGACCAUCCCACAGCUUAUCCGGCGAGGGUGUAAUAGGAUGAACAUCCACAAGAGGGGAAAAUACCUCCAUAUCAUCCUUGAAAUUGAAUGUAGAACGAGGAGCGUGUAAUCUCAUUAGUGUUCCACCUGGCCAUAGAUGGCUUCUAAUUGGUGUUUCGAGAGAAGAAGAGAGAUUGAGUGUGCUUGAUGUUGAUCCAUGAAGAAAACUAGGUAACCUUCAGAAAUUUACUAAACAAUCUGUUUAUAAAAUGAACUUAGACCCCAAAGUAGACCUCCGAUCAUCAAAAUCUAAUCCCCAGUUUGCAUCAGAAAACCCAACUAAAGACAGAGAAUCAGACCGUCGAAAAACAAUUCCAAAAUCAAGUGUAGCAGAUAAAUAUCGUAAUAUCCUUUUAAGAGCAGUCAUAUGAACUGUGGUUGGACUAUGCAUAAACUGACAUACCCUAUUAACCGCAUAAGCAAUAUCAGGCCUAGUAAUGACCACAUACUGUAACGCACCUGCCAGACUCCUGUACUCAGUCGGAUCAGAUAACAACUCACCAUCAUUUUUAGAAAUAUGGAACGAGCUAAUCAUGGGCGUAUGUACGCCUUUAGCAUUCGUCAAACCACUACGCUUCAACAUAUCCCGGAUGUACUUCUUUUGACACAGAUGAAGGCUCCCACAAGGCGACCUGGUAACCUCAACUCCCAAAAAAGUAAUGUAAAUCACCCAUGUCUUUUAACAAAAAUUCAUCAUUCAACAUCUGUACAAACCAGUCAAUAGCCGACGCCAAAUUACCAGUAAUGAUAAUGUCAUCAACAUAAACAAGAACAUAGAGAGUAGAGUCUGAGCGAACUCGAACAAAAAGAGAAGCAUCCGACUUAGAGCCAACAAACCCAACUUGCAAAAGAAAUGUCCUCAACUUCUCAAACCAAGCUCGUGGAGCCUGUCGCAAACCAUAUAACGCCUUCUUUAAUCGACAAACCAAAGGUCUCCCGUCAGAACCAAGCUUAACAUAUCCCGGAGGUUGCUGCAUAAACACUUCAUUAUCAACAUCACCAUUUAAGAAGGCAUUGUUAACAUCAACUUGUCUAAGUGACCACCCUUUAGUAACCGCGAUCGACAAGAUUACCCUUAUAGUGGCAGGUUUGACAACUGGACUAAAUGUUUCUUGAAAGUCACACCCCAGAACUUGAGAACAGCCUUUCGCAACCAGACGGGCCUUGUACCGUUCAACCGAUCCAUCUGGGUUUUUCUUUACUUUAAACAACAAUUUGCAACCUAUAACUUUGCGACCUAAUGGCAUAGGAACCAGUUCCCAGGUACCAUUACGAAUUAAGGCAUCAUAUUCCGUUUGAGCAUCGAUUUGCCACUCAGGGCUAGCGACAGCUUCUUCAAUCGUUGACGGUUCUACAACCUCAACAGCAAGAACCUUGGGUUUAAAAAUGCCAGCUUUUGAACGAGUAGUCAUAGGAUGAAUAUUCACAUUAGGCACAGACACCUCUGGUCCUGUAGGGUCAGACGGAAUUGGAACAGUGGGCGUGGGAGAUUGAUUUUCAGAAUGCAAGACACCAUGAUGAGAAAUAUCUUCUUCAGUCAAAAACUCAUUCAAUAAGGGAGUAUUACGAUAGUUAGUAUUUGUUGGACUAACAUCCACUCUACUCUAAGGACUCCGAGCCCCAGGUACACUAGGCUGACAAACAGGACCAAUAACAGAGUUCCGUUGUAACAAUGGAUUAGUCUCAAGAACAGGAAAAUAAGUAGGUAUAGUACUCACCUCGCGUGACCGAGAUAUAUUUGGUGGAGAGAGGAACCUAGAUUCAUCAAACUCCACAUGUCGAGAAACAAUAACGCGACCAUCCGGCAACAGACAUUGGUACCCUUUGUGACAAGGGCUGUAGCCCAAGAAUGUACAAGGUUGAGACCGAAAUUCUAAUUUAUGACCCUGAAACGGGCGUAAAAACGGAUAGCAACAACAUCCAAAGAUAUGCAGGUGAUCAUAAGUAGGGUCUCGUCCAUAAAGCACACCAUAUGGAGUCUUACCAUCCAAUACUGGUGUGGGAAGACGAUUUAUUAAAUGAACUGCACAUGUAAACGCAUAUGCCCAGAACUCCAUCGAAAGACCCACUUGAGCUAAAAGAGUAAGCCCCAUUUCGACAAUGUGUCUAUGUUUACGCUCGGCGACACCAUUUUGCUCAGAAGUAUGCAGACACGAAACACGAUGAACGAUGCCUUGAGACGCCAAAAUCGAAGCCAACGCUCGAUACUCACCACCCCAGUCGCUCUGGAAUUGCUUGAUGGUCUUGCCAAACUGAGUGUGAACAAGUUUCUGAAACUGAAUGAAGCAAUUCAUAACUUGAGACUUCUGUCGAAUUAGAUAUACCCAAGUAAACCGAGAACUCAUGUCAAUGAACGACACAUAAUACCAAUUGUUACUAGAAGCAACCGAGGCAGGUCCCCAUACAUCAGAUACAACCAACGUAAAGGGAUCAGUAUAUUCAGUCUUGGAAGCCAUAAAUGGCAACUUAUGAAACUUACCCUUUUUACAAGCAGUACAAACAUCGCUAACAGCAAUUUUAUUCAAAGGAACAUCACAUUUAUGUAAAACAUUUUUAACAACAGUUGACGACGGAUGUCCAAGUCGCUUGUGCCAUAACGAAAACAACUCACUGUCAGCAGUCGAGGUCAAACAUUCUACCUGAGUAGCAGACAGAUAAGAACCACCAUCCGGCAUAGUAAACCGAUAUAGCCCAUUAUGAAUAUGCCCCGUCAGUAAAACCUCCUGUGUCACGCUGUCCUUUAUCACACAAUAAGUAGAGUGAAACUAAAAAAAUACCCCAUUAUCAGUAGCAAAUUGUGAUACUGACAACAAAUUUUUUCGAAUAGUUGGGACACAUAACACGUUAGACAACCGAAGCAACAUAGACCAUGUCGGCAAAACACUUUGACCAACAGACGAUAUUAAUGCGGGCGUACCAUUACCCAUUAAAAUAGAAGACGUACCUGAAUAAGGAGUAGCAUUAUGCAUAUCUGACGUAUCCUGACAAACAUGAUUGCUGGCUCCUGAAUCAGGAUACCAAGACGACGUCCCAACUGGUCCAGGAAUCGGCGAGUCAGACGCAUCCCCACUCACUCUAUGUCGAUCGGAGUUAGCAUGAGAACUAGAGAUCGACGGAUCAGAAUAGUCCGACGCAUGUAUAUCUCCCAACCUAGGAAGUCCAAAACAAGGGUUUGAGGCGGAAAAUACUCGCGCACGCAGCUUGGUUCGCCAUGGAACUGUCGUGGUACCGAUCGGAUUAGCUGGAUUGAGCUGAACAUUAUUGACAAAUGGAUUUGUAGGUAUCGAAGGAGGAACAUUUGGUCCAACAUUCUGCCCAAUAUUUGGCCCAACAUAAGACGGCAUGCCAAACCCUCCAUGUACACCAUCAUUUGGCCCACCAGCUUGCGGCCCAGGAGUUGGAGGCCUAAAAUCUCGCCGUUCAUCACUCGGCUUAGGCCACCCAUUUGGCCCAACCUACUGGCCUCCACGCUGCGCAUUGAAGCCCCCUUCAGCACACCAAUUUUGACCAAAAUCAUAUGAAUUUUGACCAGGCCCAAAACAAUUUUGACCUGUAGCACAAUUAACUUGAUUAGUCCCAUAAUGCUGUUGACCAAAAUUAGAAACCUUAGGUCUAGUGUUUGGAUAAGACGGCCAGCCACCAUCACCGGAGUAAAGAUUCAGCAUCUGGUUUUGCUGCGGAGGUGGCACCGGAGACGACUCAUCACGAUGGUACCUAUAAUAGCAUUUUUGAGCCACGUGUCCAAACCGAGAGUAGAUCUGGCAUUGAAGUCGCGGCCGAAACGUCCUUCCACGACCACGCACCCCCGAUCGCCCUCCCGCGACGCAGCAUCUGUAGACACAUCCUCCACCAGAUUUGCAGCAUACACCACCUCUUGACUGGUCUGAGCAUGCCGAGUUUCACACUCUAGUAACGCCUCAACUAGUCGUGGAAACGGCAACGGAGUCGGAGACAACGAAGCCGACAAGACGAUGCCUUCAAACUCAGACGAAAGCCCCGCAAGAAGCACCGCCGUCCUUUCUGCCAUUGAAAUGGAAGAUCCAGAGGAUUCCAACAGAGCACACACACGUUUUAACUUCGCAACAUAAUCACGGAUCGACAUGCUUCCUUUCUUGAGAGAGUGAAGCUCAUGACGCAAUCGUGACUGCCUUUGAUCGGAAUCGGCCGCAAACAUCUCCAACGCCAUGGUCCAUACGUCGUUCGCCGAUUGGACAUCCAUAAAGGAUGAAAGAAUUGAUGAACUUAUGGUGGAGAGAAGCCAAGACGUGAGCAGAUUAUCUUGUUGGUGAUACACUGAUGCCACUGGAUUGACCACAAGCGCACCAUCCGGUGCUUGUACAAAUCUCGACGGCACUGCAAUAGAUCCAUCAAGAAAACCGAAGAGAUCAUAGCCAUUAACAAUGAAUCUUACCUGUUGCUUCCAUUGAAGAAACGUUCCUUCAUCAAGUUUCACAACGUCAUGUCUAGGAAGCGAAUUCACCACACGCUCAGCAGCAAACACCGAGCCAUGCACUUCAGCAGAAUCCGACGCAGCAGAGUUUGUAGUUGCCAUGAUCAAGAACCCCUAGCGACUGAUACCAUGAAGAAAACUAGGUAACCUUCAGAAAUUUACUAAACAAACUGUUUAUAAAAUGAACUUAGACUGUUACUUGGCUCAAUACAAAGCCAGACGAUAGUAUUUAUAACUUGCUAUCUCUAACAAACUAGCUAACUUACCAGCCCUCACUAACUACCUCUCUAACCGUUUUAUUAUCUUUAACAAUCCACUACUACUAAUAAGAGAAGAUACUUCUGCAGGACCUGAACAGCCAGUGAUACGAGAACUAGAAACUGCUGUGGAUGACGAAAGGCUUGUUGAUGUCGCAGAUGGAAGUGGGUCUGGCAUAAGAACAGAAUCCUCUAUUGCACCUCCCAAAAGAGCAGUCUCAGCAGUGCAAGUACUCUCAUUAACAAUGGCAAGUUUUGAUCUUUGCCAACAUAAACUUGAAACAGCCUGAUAGAUGCUAUAAACACUUAGGAUUUAAAAUGUUAAAGGAAUAAGGCUUAUUACUUUCUAUUUACACAAAACACGUUGAAGUUGGAGCACAAACAAGCAAGCAGUGACAUCCAAUUAAUAUCAUUAGUUCCAUUAUAGAACAUGAUCUUUUAUACAAAUACCAUUCAAAAUUCCAUAUCAAGUUAGAGUUCUUGAAGGAAAAUAGAAAGCAAGUGCAAACUACAAGAACUUAUCAGGGCCUGGGUCUCUUUUUAUAUUAAAAAGUGAUAAUAGAGCAAAAGAUAACCAACCUCCGGACUACUAUAAGCACGAAGAACAGUAAAAGGCUGUAGUUUUCCCCGAAUAUCAUAGAACACCACUCUACCAUUACCAGUACCAGCUGACAGUGUCCAACCAUCAUCUUUAAAUGCCAAUGAAGAAAAAGGUGCCUCAUAUGAAAUGAAAGCUGAGGGUCUUCUAGACCCUGAGUCAUAAGUGUAUAGCUUCUUAUCCAACCCAACACUAGCAAUAAUCUGUUGAAAAGGAAAAAGAAUAAUGAAAUGUCAGAAUAUUUAACAAUUUUUGAAAGAUAUCUUAACCAUUAAAAAAAAAAUUCCUUCAUCUCAACCUUCCAGAAAAAGUCAGCCUAUUCCUUUAAUUAAGCCUUAAUAAGGAAAAGAAGAAACAAUGAGACCUUAUCAUUGGAGGGUGAGAAACUAAUGCCAGCUGUCGGAGCAGAGUGCUGUUUCAACCAAGAGACCUGUAAAAGCCAGUGGAUUACAUAUAUGCUUAGAACAUCAAGAAUAUUAAGACAGACAGAGAGAAGAGAACCUUUGGGCUACGACCAGUGGUAUCCCAUAAAUGGACAGAUCCAUCAUCACCUGCAGUCACCAAAAUGUGUCGACUAAUCCGCGAAUAAUCAAGUACCUUUAGUUCCUGGUCUUAAAUCCAUCAGAGGAAAAUUAGCUUGCAAACAUGACUAAGAACUUAACAUAAGCACCCAAAUGCAACAAACUCAACAACCUGUGCAUCGGGAUCUUUUAAUUCAGCAGCCUUUGCCCCAGAAGCAAGGUUGUGAAGUAUCAGAUCCCCACUUAGGCUGAUGGAGGCCAAGUGCUCAUCUUUGCAGUUAUACAUAACACCUGUUAUUGAGCUGGUAUGACCUCUUAACCAUUUGAUGCAACGCUUCCGCUGCAAAUCCCAUAUUCUUACAACUUGACCACUUCCUCCUGAACAUAUGUAUCUGGAUCCCUUGUUGCUAAAGCUAAUAGCUAAAAUGGACUCCUGUAAAUAAAAGGGAUAUUCUGCUUGUUAAAUUUGACAAAGAAUGCCAUGGAAAUAAUUAUAUAUAACUUCAGUAACCAUUUAAACUAAUCAAGGCCUGACAUUAAUGAAUAAGCAAUUUCAGGUGUCAUCAACGAAUAAUCAAUUUUGGGUGUCGAGUAAAAAACUUGAGGAUUUUAGUUACGCAAAUGAGGCCACAAACUCGUUUUCUUUUUUCCCUUUUUUUUUUUUUUUGCCUAAAGCAUUGUGACAUCAAAUUUGAGGAAAAGGACAUCAUUCAAAUGCAAUGCAAAGUGCUAAAUGUUUGAAGCAAGCUUAUCUGUCCAUGCUACUUAAGCGCAUCCUCCUCUCUUGCUAAGUACCUCCACUAAUGUCAGCUAGAAACAUAUGGUAAUUGUAUAGACAGAAAUUUCAAGUCACGAUGAUAUUUUGCACAUUAUAGUCCUACACUACAGACAAUAAUGCAUAGCACAACUCGUCCACAUUAAUAAAGAAGAAAGUUCAGAAAGCAUGAAACUUCUCUCUUUUGUUCAUAAGUAACUCAAUUUACUACAUGAUUUAAUAAUCUACAAUGAGUUUUAUUCAAAAUAUCUUUUAAGUCAGCUGCCAAUCCACAACACACAUCCUAUUGGUAACUUCUAUUUCGUGAUGUAUGCAUUCACAACUAAAAACCUUAUGCGUGACAAUAUGGUUAGAAACAUAAAGUAUAACAAUUUCGGAAUUUAACAUGCAUAAUCUACCUGGAAAUGAACAUUAUAUCCCACUCCAAAAAAAUUUUGGCUUCGAUUCAAAACAAUAAAACUAAAAGUAUUUCAACAAUAUUCAACAGUUAACUAAGUCUAGAGAAGGAUUACCUCAAUGUUAUCUCCACUAUCAGUCCCAUCAACCGGAAUUGUUCCAAUCCUCUGCCCAUUUUUCUUCACAUGCCAUUUGACUUUAUCGAUUUUGUGUGGAUUCCAACAUGGAAAUAGAAAACAGCUUUUGUUUUCAUUGUGGAAAAUCUCUUGCGCUUUUGGAAUUUUGUGUCCACUAGUAUUUUCUUUCUUAAAAAGAAAAAAAGAAAAAAAAUUGCUUUUUAAUUGGAAGAAAUUAUUUUAUAAUUGUUAUGAAUUUUUCAUUAUUAAAUCAACAUCUAUUGAUAUCAAAAUAAAUUUGAUUUACUCUAUAUUUUUCUAUAAACAUUACUAUUAAUCAAUAAAAACAGGAAUAUGUUUGUGCUUUUCCAUAGUUAUAGCUCUGUUUAGGAUGUGGUAGAUGGUAUCAGUUGGACGAGAAGUUAUUCGCCACCCUCAAUGGCUAUGUACCAUUCGAAUUUUAUGGCUUUUGAUUCAAAAUAGUUAGCUCCAAAAUGUGGUUAUGUUAAGCUUAAUACAAAUGGUGUAAUUUCGUCUAGCUCUCACUCAAUUACAAUUAAAGGAGUCAUUAACUAUGUUAAUAGUAAUUAGUUAUGUGGUUAGUCGAUGACAUUAUAAGGAAAUAUGAAGUGUAUAAAAUUAAAGCAAGAUCGAUGUUAGAAGUGCUACAACUAACUUAGGACAAGGGUUAUCCACAUGUUAAGUUUGAAUAUAUGUUAUUUUAUUUAAAAAAAGUUACGUUCCAUAAUAAUAAUAAUAAUAAGUUCAGCUAUUUGCUGUCCAAAGAACAGUAAUUACCAACCUCACACCCAAAAACAGCUCUUCAGAACUUCUGAUAAAGAGAGAUACUUAUCCACUAAUACAUAAAAUAUUCUACUAAUACUUGCAGAUCAGUUUGUGGAAUCUGUUCUGGACCAGCAGGAGAAAUGGAACAGGCUAUUGUGUCCUUAGCUGUUGAAAGAAUUUCUGAUUUACUCAUCCAUGAAGCUGUUUUCCUCAGAGAUGUGAAAGAUCAAGUUGAGAGCCUAAUGGCUGAACUGAAGCGAAUGCAGUGUUUCUUGAAGGACGCGGCUCGCAAUCUUGAACAAGAUGCGCGUUUCCAGAAUCGGGUGUCGGAAAUCAGAAAUCUUGCUUAUGAUGCUGAAGAUGUCAUCGACUCUUUUAUUCUUAAAGCAGCAUAUCAACGAGGUUUUCUUGGGAUUGUCAAGAGAUUCACCUCCAUUUUCACCAAACCUUAUCAUCUGCACAAAAUCGGGUUGCAGGUCAAAGCAAUCAAGACCAAGCUCCAAAACAUUUCCGAGAAUCUUCCAGCUUUUGAAAUACCCGAUGAUGGAGAAGGCUCUAGCUCAAUUUUCAAGGUGCAGCAACAGUUUAGAAGGACAUACUCACAUGUCGAGGAAGAGGACGUUGUUAGCUUGGAAGUUAGCACGAAGGAUGCCAUGACCAUGUUGCUGUUUGAAGAAGAUAGACCCCACGCCGUGGUUUCCAUAGUCGGCAUGGGAGGCCUCGGUAAGACUACUCUUGCCAGAAAAGUAUAUAAUCAUGUUGAUGUGAGACGCCAUUUUGAUUUCUUGGCUUGGUUUUCUAUCUCUCAACAAUGUAAGCCGAGAGAGGUUUUGCUUGGUGUCUUGAAGAAAGUUCUCUCUCCUUCUAACGAUGAAAGAGAGAAAAUUGAGAAAAUGGACGAGAUUGAGCUGAGGAGAACGCUUUUUGAUGCUUUGAAAGAAAAGCGGUAUUUGGUGGUCCUCGAUGAUAUUUGGAGAAGCGAGGACUGGGAUAUUCUUAAACCUGCUUUUCCACCAGGAAGAAAGGGAAGCAAAAUAUUGUUCACAACACGAAUAAAAAAUGUGGCUUCACGUGCCGAUCCAUGGAGCACUCCCGUGGAGCUCUCACUUCUUACAGAUGAUGAAAGUUGGAAUCUUUUGUGUAGGAAAGCAUUCCCACGGAGCAAAAUGGGUUCUCAAUGCUGCUCAGAAGAAUUUGUGAAGCUUGGAAAAGAGAUGGUGAAAAAAU